Molecule: long non-coding RNA, 61347 nt
Filed under: Xyrichtys novacula (pearly razorfish)
Lineage: Eukaryota; Metazoa; Chordata; Actinopteri; Labriformes; Labridae
Source: RNAcentral
CCGGGAGAGACCGCGAGAGAGGAAGGAGAGGGAACAUCGUGCUAAUGGCGUAGAUGAGCUGAGACUCUGGGACUGUGGGACUGUGUGUGCCGUCAGUGUGGAGUUUGAUAAGUGACGGACUGUAAACUGUAGUUGACCGACGUGUUGGAAAAGUGUGAGUCGGACUCUCCACCACCGCUUGUGUUUCGGUGAGCACAAAGCUAGUUCCGGUUACGGUAGCUAGCAGGAGCUAGGCUAACGCUACGGUCCACGCUGAGGGGAGACAACGCUGCCUGCACUCCAGGACGGGACAGGAGCUUCGGUGAGCCGUCUCGGGAGACAGUUGUUGACGGAGGACGUGUCGCUGCUGCCGAGGGACGGAGGUGUGUCGCUGCGAGCUGCUGCGGGCGGAGACGGGUGCUACCACAAAGAGCGAGCGAUUCAUGAGCUGCGUCCUGGUCUGACUGACUUCACCUACACACUGAGGUACUGGUAUGAAAGGUUUCCAUUAUGAGCUCUAACUAAAGCGCGCCAACAAAAGUUGACAAAGAGUGGCAAACAUUAGGCAGUUGAGAAAAGACAAAAAACUAUACCCCGGGAUUCUAAUUUUUUAUUUUCUAUAUUCUUUCUUUGGAUGGGUGUUUUCCCUGCAUUGUUAAUCCAUUCAAAGAAAAAAACUGAGAUCCUGUAUUGGUUUUAUUGUCUUGGUUUUUAUUACUUAAGUAUUACAGUAGAGUUUACAUGUCAGGUGUAUUCCCCAUAGUCUCCAACUGUAGGGCUGCCAAGUUUCAGAAAAUGACAAGUGAGACUUUAGUGUUAUAAUGUAUUCGGACACUGACCUGUGGUUGGCAGCGAAAAAAUUGUCCUUUUUUUAUGUUGAUUUGUACCUGAAGACUGAUACCCCUGCACUGUGGCCUCCUAAUGCUCGUCUUAAUUAAUCAGAAAUUAGAAAUGCAGAUCUUAACAAGAAUUUUCACAAAAUACAAUUAUUUGUCGCAUUAUUUGUCGCAUUUUAACCAUAGACUGGACAGAGUCUGUCUCCUCGCUGGGUGAAGCCACUCAGAGAACAGCACCUUCUGGUGACGGGCUGCAGUAUAGGUCAUAAAUCUUGCCCUCACCAGUACAGCUUUGCAACUGAUUAUUUAAAAGUGAGAAUCAUACAGUACCAUAGAGUGAUAUUUACUAUUUAAGAUGUGACUUUUACGAUAAAAUAUUUGACAGGAGUUAAAGCUUCAUCUUCAAGCAUAAGGUGGGUUUUAAUAACACAAGUUGGUAGUAAAAGGGUUACAAUAAGAAAUGCAUUUUUACAAUAUGACCGGACAAGCAGGGCAGCCCAAAAAAAAAAAAAAAAAAACGCACACAGAAAAGUUUAUGUAAAAUACAAACACAUAUUAUUUCAGAAUUAACUGUAAAUAAAGUUCUUACGCUUUGUAAAGUAACAGAGUUUUAAUGUGUGAAGAGCCUACACAAAAACUCACACUCACUGUGUGUGGACACAAAUCAUGAGACGACUCUUGUAAAUGUAAGGUUAUUAUUUUCCUAUAAUUUUCUUCAUUCAUGUGAUAAAAAAGGUCAUCACUGUGUUAAGACUUUGACAUACGUCUUAUUAAAAUACACUAAAAGAGAGAAAACAAAAUAAGAAAGGGAUAGACGGGGAAAGCAGAUUUUUGGAAUCGAAGAUUACUGGAGGAUCUAUGCUUAAGAUUUAAUUUGAGUCUUUUUUUUUACAGGCGAUUAAGAGAGAGAGAGAGAGAGAGAGAGAGAGAGAGAGAAAUAAAAAUGUGGUCAGACUAUCAUUCCACAUCUUUCUCUACAGACUGUUCUGCAGACACUGAUCUCUCCAGUGGGAGAGGUAGGAACAGUUUGUACUCUAGUCUGCAACAGUUUGUUUUCCAGACCAGUCAAUAUCGAACAACACAAGAGGUGUUAGUCAGACUUCUCAGCAGCCAGAGCUCUGGCACACUGAUGGAAUUGACAAAUGACACUGACAUAUUUCAACAAAAUCAAAACAGGUACAACGAAGGGAGUAUCUUAUGUCUGGGUAAGCCAGGGAAGUUUACAGCAAAGAAACUGUGAAACAUUUUUUUUAUUAUUUUUACCAACACCAAACUAAUAUAUAAAAAUCUACCAUAAGAAAUAAAAAACUAUGAGGUGUAGUUUUUUAAAUAUUCAACUUUGGCCUAGCUCUUCUUAACCAUAUUUAAUCAAAUUUUAGUCAAGGGUAACAAAAUCUAAACAAAUCUGUAGCUGAUGUCAGUGUUAAAAGGUAAUCGAGAACAGAUUUAAAUAUGUCUUAGGCUUACUAGAAUAUUUUGUCAUCAAAAAGUGAUAGACAUACAUUUUUUGUAUAGCCAAGUGUUGUGUAUUAAUAACCAAUGCAUCAGCGUGGUUCUGACUCAGACAUGACAACUCAUUAUAGCCGAUAGUUUGCACAUCCAUCCUUCACUACAUAUUCCUUCAGUUCGACUCAAACUUGAAAAUCCUUCUCUCUUGCUUCCACCUGCUAUGUUAAAUACUCCCUAGCUUUCUGAGAGUAACACAUUUCCUGCUUUUUAUUUGACUUGAACAGUUGCAUAACUAUUUUUCAUAACUUCUGCAGCAUUUUGAGCACAUUCCUGUUCAGCUGAGCUCCCAGAGGAAUGUGUUGUCAGGGACCCCCGCAGGCAUGAAAGAACCGCCGCAAAAUAUAUAAAUAAUAAUGAUGGCAGCUAUUGUCAGAUUGUCACUUGCUGUAUGAUACCUCAACGUCCCAUUUUCUUUUACAUUGUUCCUUAUUUUUCAGUGCAGCUUUUUCUGUUGCUUUGUUAAACGGAUGCAUAAGUCGGGAGAAAAAAUAAUAUCCAGCCCCCAGGAGGCUAAGAAAGAGUGACAGGCUGAAGAGUUAAGGGCGGAGAAACAAAGCAAAACAAACACAAAGGAUUUUAUGAAUCAAGCUAGUUAUCUAAAUUAUGUGAUGCUAUAACUUAAAUUCAGUAAAGCUUUGUUGUGCUGAGCGAGGGCUGUGAUAAGCUUAAGAAAAAAAAAACCUUUAGAGGGUUUAUCCAAGGUACUCAGGCUUGUAAGGUUGAUGAGUGAACCUACUUUGCAUAAAGGUGUGAUUGUGAGUGGUCGUAUGUCUCUUCAAGUCAGCUCUGUGACUGAUUUAUAGGACCUGUCAGAGGUGUUUACUCCCCUUGUCAAAUGGCUUUCAGGACGCUCCAGCCCCCAGGGAUGUGCCAAUCAUGGUGAUUUCCCAAAAAUAUAAAAAUACAGGAUAAAAAUUAACUCAAGAGAACAAAAUAUACUGUUACCGAUAGUUACAGUGCAUCAUUUAAAGGUGGACUAUAUUUCAGUGCUAUUGUCAGAUAUAGAAGAGGCUUUAGCUCCCUGGUAGAUGAAAAGUGUGAGAAUAAAGGGAUGGGUGGAUUUAGCUUGGAUACCUCUGAAAUGUCAAAUCAGUUUGAUGCUGUUUUUUUUUUUUUUUUCUCAUGUUCAGAUUACCAAGCUGGCAUUUUUAUUUUUGCAGUACAAACAAACUAUGACGUGUUUGUCAUUGUGAUUUAAAGUGUCGGUCUUGGUCUGACUCCAAGUCUGCUGUGGCUGUUUUGUGGCAUAAAUGCAAAGACUGAGGGUGCAUUAACAUCAGGGUGGACUAUUUAAUUUAAUUUAAUAGAUUUAGAUAAAAAAAACAAAACAAAAACAGUGGUGUGUUUCCCUCUCAAGCUCUGGUCAUUUGGAAAUAUGUGAACACAGUAAUCAUAUACUGAUGCAGAACAAAACAAGCAAGGUGACCCCCCCCCCAGGAGAGGUGGUCUCGACUUGCUUCCUGUUAAACCCUGCAGUGCUUUGUCUGUAAGAAAAACUCAAUCAACCUGCGGACUGAAUAUUAAAAUAAUUGCUGUGAAUGUUCACAAAGUGUCACACUAAAACAUUUAGAGCUCACUCUACUAACUGACUCCAGUAUAAUUCGUAAAACUUUCUUCCUCUCUUAUAACGAAUAAAUGGAUCAAACUAUGAAAUGAAAACUUUCUUUUUCAAACAUGGUCUUUGUUAUUAUUGUAAGGACUUAAUAUUCUGAUUGUUGAUUUUCUAGUUUUCAUUUUUCUUACAAAUUCAAUUUUAAGUCGUAAUUUGAUUUUGAAAGAUGAUUAAGAGCUUUGCAGAGAAGUAGAAGGAAUUACAAGAAUGAAGCAAUGACUAACACAAGAACCACUAAACUUCAUCACCACAGAUGUCUGUUGUAGACUUCUGUAUUUUUGGGGAGUGGUGUCUAACAUUUGACAUAUAAGCUCAUUUUCCUCAUAAGUGUUGGUGAGGCAUUUGACCUCUGACUCCAAGAGUAGUGCAGUGGCUGACAUUAUAGUAAUGUGAAAUUAUAAAGCACUUAAUCCUUUAAGACUGUUGGCAAACACGGUAAGGAGGAGAGAGAGACUUAGAUGAAUCAGAAAGUUAAUAAAUAGUGAACUGAAAGCUUAGUUUAAAAAAGAGGCUGUUUGGUCCCUGUGACACUUUUUGUUUGGUAAAUGUUUUUAUACUAUACACUGAGUAUUUUUUUUCCAGUUCCUAUUUAAUAAGGGAGUAAAAAAACAAACAAACAUUAAAACUGACCUCAAAUCUGUUUACACAGACAGCUCAUCGUUAGAACCUGUCCAUCAUAUUUAAUGACCGAUGAAUUAUACUCUACUGACAUAUCUCUGUCUGACUACCAAAAUAAGAGGAUGUAAAAACUUGGGGCACAUUUGUGUGCAGUAAUAAUAGUAUUAAUGUACCACUAUAUACUAUGUUUUUUUAUGUUUUUUUAUAUAUUUCAUGGAUUUUACACCAUCUGUCCAUGUUGAUGAUGCAAGAUAACGGUUAACAAAAACUGUCCAAUUAAAGCUGUUCCCUGUCAGUCUACGUAGCUCAGUGUUGGCUCUUGUGAAGGUCUACACAAAUAGGCCAAAACUAUAUCCAUAAAGAGAGACAGGCAAUGCAAGUUCAAAAACAAGAGCAAAAGUCAAACAAAGAUUGAAGGAUUAUUAAAAAAUUGCAGCGAAAAAAGGUAAAACAAAUGCAGUGAAGGUAACCACUCUCGACCUUUAUCACUGGCAUCUUUGAGAGGACUUUUGACUGACUUCUGUGAGGGGUCCGAUUGGGAGCACUGAGAGAGUUUACGGUGCCAGUCUCCAUCUGGUGCAGGUUUACACUACAUUGCACUUGUGUGGGCUGUAUAAUUCAAAAUUGUCCGUCAGAGCUCAUGUCGGAUUUCCAGCCUGUGUGUCAUGCCAAAGUUUUGUCCUGAGGGAUGCUCAACACUUCACACCCUCUGCUUGGGUGUGAUCUCAUUAUGGGUUCAUUGGCUGACUCUUAAUAAACAGCAAUACCAGGAUGAAUAUCAGGUCACAGAACUGAUUCAGGAAGGUUGAGAAAAGCUCUCACAGUUGAUGUUAAUUGGUGCUCUGGUCAGCCAGGGUCAGAUUUCUGUCGGGGGGUAAUUGGGAAAAGUGGAAGGUUGGCCAGACUAGUCACUCGUCUCCCUCUGUACCCGUGUCUGUCUUUGGCCUAAUUAACUUGCACUCAGUGGCUACUUCACACAGAUAAUUUGGCAUGGAGGGAUGGAGACAGAAGAAGGAGGAGGUGUCAGAGACAGAGAGGGAGAAGUGGAGAGGUUCAGCGCAACAGGAAGAAAAUAGACCUGCAGUUUCCAAGGUGAUGCUUAAGUGGAAAUUAUUGUAUGCUUCAGUUCUCCACAUUGUGGGAGCUCUUUAGUGUUACCCAUUAUUGCACAUGCAACAUUCAGGCUGUAGUUUAUGAGACAGUCAGGACAGACAGUAUUUCUAACCAAAUGCUCUACAGACUGCUACAAAGGGACAUUAAAAGACCUUAUAGGUUGUUCUACAAAACUCCUUUGCAUCAACACCCUUGUCUUGUGCCAUCUGGAUUUCAAAAUAUAUUCAUUAUGGUUUUUGAAAUAUAAUCUAUGCCUUUAAAAACAACUGGUGCUUCAGUUGUUGGCUAAAGUUGGCAUCUAAAGCAUUUCCUUGAAUCAGUUUUCACCCUGUCUUUUCUUUGCACUGAAUCAGCUUGGUGCAUGAAAACAAACUCAGUGCAAGGUUGACCUCUUCUCCCCCUUUGCCUGCUUUAGUUUUAAUUAAUCAAAUCAGCCAGGGUCUUUUGGAGCAUUGAAAGUCUGAACAAGUAACAAAACCAGUGAAAACAAACAUAAAUGUAGUGUUUACAUUCAAGUUAACUCCAGUGCAGAGAGUCCACCAGAUAUAAAAGUCAAUAAAUAUGUAUAAAUCGCAAGUACAAAUAGAUUAAAAGAGAAGGAGAAUCUGGCCUUAAACGUCCAGUCAGAGUCAGAGCUUUUGUGGUAGAUGUUUCUUUGAUUGUGUUUUGUUAGAUUCUCAUUCACACAGACAUAACGUAUGUCACAGAGUCUAGAUGAUAUCAGGUUAAUCAGAUAAAGGGGUUAGUUAGAGGAACCCAUGCUGUAUAUCCAGUUUCCAUAGAGAAAAAAAACAAUAGAAUUUCACCAGAGCAUUUCACUCAGGGAGCCUGAGUGAAGCACAUUUGGCAUUUCAGCAUGUUUAUCUAUUUGCUGAGAUAUCAGCCAUUUCUCUGAUUAAAAUUAAUUUACAAUUUGGCCAGGGGUGUCCUUGGAAUCUCCUUUACCUGCAUGUGUGGGACCUUUUUGUGGUAUAGAGAACAUCUUAUUUACCAACAUUACAUUCUGAUAGUGGAGUUUUCUAAAGAUUUACUCAAGUUACAGUGCUGUGUGUUUAAAGUUUAAAUGCUCCCACUGCUUUUUUAACAGGGAGGCUCACUCAUAGAUUCUGCUGCAGGUGUCUAAUAAACCCCCAAACACCUGCAGCCUAUCAGAUUUUUGACUCUCCAAACAUCCUAGACUCAGUAGUUGAGUCCCUGUAUUAGCCAACUAACAUUAGUGUAAUCAGCAAGUCAUUGUUUCAUUUGGAAAGUUAUUUAUUCUAAGCCAGAAUUAAUUCCUAUGCAAAUUUAUUAAUGGUGUUCAGUAUUAUUUGCCAUCAAUCACAGACAUCUUACCACACACAGUUUUAGAAAUAUCAGUUUCAAAGUGACUCUGUUUACUCCACAGAUAGUUUGACUCCAAGAUUAAGACUUGGUUCAUUUCUGGAUUUAUUCACAGUUUUCUUUUACUACUGACAUCAAUGAUCCUUAAACAACCAAAGUCUUUAAAAACUCUAAGUCAGUGCCUUUUAGUGCUAUCUGCAUUUGUAGCAAGACUUUGACAGGUUUAAAGGCACAAACACUCAUUCUGUUUUUUGGUUGAUUUCUUUGGGUUUGAAAGAAAUUUGCAUAACCUUGAGAUCAAUAAGCUUAAAAACUGGCCUAAUCUCUUAAACUCCACCGAGUCUCUGGCUGGCACCAAGUCUCUUUCUCAUGGCUAAUCCAAUGCUGUUGUCAAGAGAAAUACAGGAUUUAAUGUAUCUUUACCCAGAAGCUUGACACUCUUUCAUGCUUUAAAUCAAACCUUUAGAUGGAGUGUAACAAAGACAGUUCCCCAUUUUACCUUGUAGCUUUUGAUUACUGCAGGUUACUGAUCUUAAUAUUUGUGCAAUGUCUUUGUAUUGGUGUUUUUUGGUGAAGUACUUCAAGAAACACCAGUUGGGCUAUUGACUGGAGCCACUUAAGUCAUGAAUAGAAGACUUAUUUUCUUCUUAAAAUGCUAAAAUUCAGCACUGUCUUGCCAAAAUACUGAUUUUUGACACAGUGAAUCUAUCACGGGGAUAUUAGUAAAUCCAGCAUCAUCUUGGACCAAACUAAACUAGCUUCUAAAUUUGAAACACUUUUAGGCCAAGGCUUUGACCUAGAACCCAGUUUCAGUGGAGGCUUAGCUAAACAAAAUUGAUUACACUUAAGUUAUCAAUAAUACUGUUAAACAAAACCAAAAAGGCAGGAUUUCCUCAGUUCAACCUUAUAUUUAAUUAAAAAAAACUGAUUAAUAAGAGCGCCCAAGUUUUCUACCCAGAUCUGUACAGCUGAACAAUACAUUUGUAUGUAGCCAAAAGAGCCAUGCAGACAGAGGUCUUGCUACUUAAACUUAAAUGCAAGACUGAUAUAUGAAUUCUUAACAUUUCUAAGCAAACCUAAAGGUUGAUCAAUCUCCUCAAAAGACUUUAAUGGGAUGAAUUCAGUCUGAGAGAAGUUGAAGUCAACAAAAGGUUUAGACAAAUGUAAAAACAUUUACCAUUUGGAAAUGUUCCCUGCAGUCUCUACUUGAUUUUUUUCUUUGCCUCACUUGUCUCACAGCUUAUUGCAUCACAACUGGUGAGGUUGAUUAUGCAAACAAAGUAUUCAAGAACAAUGCUGGUGGAUAUGAAGCAUUUCACACUGUGUGUCUAUGUUCAGCAGGAGAACAAACCAAGAGAACAAUAGGGAAUAUAAUUAGCAAAUGGUGCGACCAAAUCCAAGGUGAAUGUUUUCUUUGUUUGAUAUAUUCUUUACCUGCAGACACCAGAUAUUUUUUCAAUUUUUACUGAAAUCCCCAAAAAAGAGAAACUAAGUCCAAAGCUGAUCUCCUCCCUCAGGAUUCAAAUGACCAUCAAAUAAACUGGUGACACUCCAAAUGCACAUCUUUGUAGCCCUAAUCACAACUUUGGUGUUAGAGCAUGAAAUGGAGCAGCUAGAGUUCUUUGGCACCAAACAAAGAACAAAUAAGCUUGUUUCCCCUGCAGGGACUUGGCUUAAACACAAAUGAAAGGCAGGCAGCCUUUGUUAUGCAAGCAAACUUGUUAAGUUGGUAAUGUUUCAAUCAAACACAUUGUCAAUGCUCAACAAUGUCCCAAACAAAGUCUCAUUACAGAGGACUGGACUCGCAUAAUAGACUGUUACUCUGUCCAAGACUUGUAAUGAAGUAUGUUUGCAAUCUUCUUGUUUAUUUACACCCGUAACAGUGAUUACACAUGUUUCCUGACUUUCUUAAAUCCUUGAACACAACAUUAAAAAGACAGUUGCUGGAAUUUCUUCAAUUAUGAAAAAACUCUUAACAUCAGGUUAAAAAGAUUAGUUUAAUGAUUAAGGGUCAAGGUCACAGUGACCACAUCAAACAUAAUCUGGACAAUGGCCCAAUUAUUUUAAUGCUAAUCAAGACCAAAUCCAAGAUUAAAUAACAUUAAUGGAAUUAGGUUUAUUAUCUCUUUCUCAGUUCAAAUCCUGCUAAAUUUUCUUCAUGAACGGAUGACCUGUUUCCAUCACAUUUUUCUAGUUUAGUUUAGAUGUCAAACUGGACCCAGGUAUGAACUCAAGCAUAAAACCAGGUAUGAUAUGAUCUUGUUUUUUCAAACAUUAGCCCAACCAAAUUCCAAUACGCAGAGAAAGAAAGCGACGUCAACUCUGAGUAGAAUGAACACUCAAUAUUGAUGGAUGACAACCAAUUGGACGAUGACUUUUGGAUUGAAACUAAAAUCUUUUUUCCAAAAUGUGUGUUUGGUUCAAGUCAUUCAUCAAAACUGGACAGAAAACAAAUCUGUAGGAGGUACAAAAAAAUCCUAAAAAAAUAUGAUUUUUUUUAUUUUGGUCAAUGAUUUUAGGUUUUCAAAUAUUAAUUUUAUUUAGCCUAAAUUAUUCUGCUCCUGAGUAGAACAGUGAGAUUCUCACUUAUACUUUGCUUGAUUUGACUCCAUGUUAUUUAGAUUAACUCAGCCUUAAUAAAAACAUUUUUUUAAAGUUAAGGAAGCACUAGGUCUAUUGACAAUAAAUAACAUGCAUGUGAUUAUGCCGCCCUCUAUGAUCUUAAGCUAAACUAUAUGCAGUAGCUGCUGCUUGCAUGAGGCUUGCCUUGUAAAGACCAGAAGCAGCCAGCCCUGGUAGUGGUCUGCCAUUUAAAUGAGACCAUUGUAUCCUAUCCACUGAUGCUGUCUCACAACAUCAUCAUGUUACACAGCCGUAACAUGAACUUUCGGUUUGGGAAAUUACAUCUACAACCCCUGAAAGACCUCAGUAACCCUCAAACAGAGCAGGCUUUAUGCAACAUGUUACUCAAGCCUGCAGCUCUGUAACAGCUCAGAAACAGUCUGAGGCUUAUAGUGAGUUAAUGGUUGUAUGUGUGUGUAUGUGUCUUAAUAUGUUAGAGCUUCUGAGUGUAUCAUGUCAAUGUGCAGGUUGAGCUCAAGUGAAGUGGGAUAGUAUAAUGAUCUGCAUUGGGUCAUGUUUCUUAAAAAAGUAAGUUGUCACAAGAUUACAGCCACCAAAUACUGUCUGCUUAUGUUUGCAAGUUACAACAGUAAAACAAGAAACAACAGUAACAUGUUAAGGUGCUCAUGUGUUACCUGCCAGUCAUGUUUUAAGAGUGCUUUCCUUUUACUUACCUGCAUGCAAUGGCAGCUUUCAUACACCACAGAGAAGAGGGAUGGAUGCAGCUUGCAAUCAUUCCAUAAGUCUUAGUUUACUUGCUUCAAGUCAGCAGUAGUGAAAAUAUAGUCCAAGCUGGCAAACAUUUUUUUUCACAGUUCUUCCUCCACAGGCUAUGUAGAGAUAGGGAACUAAUGUUUUCCAGUGUGACAUGUUUCUUCGAUCCACCUCACAUAUUGUCGACAUUUGAGACUCAGCCUACCACGGAAACAAGCUAAGGCUGGCUGUAAGGGACCAAGCAACCAGGCAAAGGACAAAGGUGUGGAAAAGGAGCUUGAUCAAAAAACAAAAAUCAACAACAAAAUUUCCAACUUAAUGUGGUAGAAAAUCAACAAAAUCUGGGCAAACACUAAAAGAGGUCAACUCAGCAAAAAAGAACUAAAGUUAAACCCUAACAAACGUAAUCAAACAGACCUACUAAGUGAUACAUGUCAGGGGUUUAAAUAGACAAAGGACUAGUCUAACAUAAACACAAGGGGGAAACCAAAGUGACUACAAACUAAACAUCUAACAAACCCAGAAAAACACCUCUAAAUUAUCCAAACCAACCUUUUACAGAAAAAAAAAAUAAAUACCCCAUUCUAACUGAAAGAAUAAAGAAAAAAGUUUUAUAAAGAAUCAAAAGUCCAAGCUCCUUCUUGCUUCCCCCUUGAUGGUUUGUCCCCCUUCCUGUGGGUAGGGCUAAGGGGCCAUCUUGGAUCUGCAGACAGUCUUUUGCCAGGUGAGCUUAAACAAAGACAAACAUAAGGUAAGUACUGCUUUGACAUGACAAACUCGAAUUAAAUCAUGAUGUAGAAAAUUUAACCAUGUGACAGUUUGUUAACCAAAUUUACUGUGUUAAAACCUAAAGACAAAGAAAUACUAACAUGAGGUGGUGGUUGAGGCCACCACACUGGCUAACAAAGUAAUUGCUAACCCUAACCAUGCUCUUAAUGAUGAAUAUAAACUAUAGCCAUAAAAUCUGAGAUGCAAGGUCCCUUGUUUUCAAAAGGUCAGACUGAAGCACUCCUUCAUACGGCAGUCCAUUAUAAAGCUGAAUAUGGAGCUGAACCCUUGAUCAAAAGUAUGUAAGGCCUCUGAAUAUGCCGCCUGCUGUUUGAAAUGUUUUUUUCAUGUGUUUAUUUAUUCGUCUUGUCUUGUAUGUUGUAAAUAGAGCUGCAGUGAUAGACACCAACUUUGAGACUCCCUGACAGUAAAGUCAUUUCUAAUCUAAUCUGAUGUAUUUUGUCAAUGGAGAAGCAGGGACUACCCUAACUAUUUGCUAUGGGUUUCUGCAGAUACUUCUUCAAAGUAGAGAUUUUAGCUAUUGACAAUAUUUCCACAACAUAGCUGCUCUGCUGUCUCACUCAAGCACUGGUUAAGUGUGCUUAUGAGGCUUGCUAAAAACAAGUGAUGGAGGAUUUAUAGCUGCUGGUUUCAGGUUGUUCAGAUUUUAGGAAUAAGUAAAGUUAUUUCCUUUCACCUAUAAUAAAGAUGUUGGCUGAUUGUGUGGUUGGAGACUAGCUACAGUCAACCUCAGCACAGUCUCUUUUUAAGGUUUAACAUUAAUGACUGACUAGAUUUGGACACAGAUAUCAUGAAAUGAAAUUUCAACCAGCCGCUGAAGGUUUUUCUUUUCUCUGUCAAGCCUUCAAAAUGAAAUUACCUUUCAAACGUACACCCUUCAUCAGCAUUUGUGUCCCAAAUGAGUAAAUGCGGCCACGUGCUUAUGUUCAGAGUUCAGGGAUCAUAGGAGGAAAUGAGGAUUAUGCUCACAUCAAAGCCAGCAGGUGACAAAUCAGUGAAGAUACAUGGUUAUUAGAUUAGAGCAAUGCAGACACAUCCAGUGUCCCUCCACGUGAAGAGAAACGGCCUAGUCCUUAGUGAAAUAAAAACGUGGACUCUGAAACAUUCAAUACAUCUGCAAAAAAAUACAGAGGAUGUUUCCUCUCAUGAGUUCAGGAGAGGUUUCUCAUUAAAUCAGAAAAACAGAGGAUUAUGUUCUCAAGUGAAAGCAGUACACCUCAAUAUGCUGCUUUGUAAAUUAUGAUGAAUAAAAUAGUUAUUGUGGAGGCCUGAGAGUCGACUCAACCAUCAUAGACACGUGUCAGCACACCUGCUCUGAAAUACGGUGCAUGAAAGAUCAAAUGUCUGUAUUAUUCAUAAAAACGAAUGAUAUGUGUGGAAUAAAAAACAAGAAACAGUAGAAAAAAUUAAUAAUCUGCUCAGAAAAUGGUUAUUUCAUUGAAUAACAUGUUGACUGGUGCCUUUAUCGCCAUGAUUUGAUCCUAAGAAGCUUGAAGCAAUAAAACGAUGUUAUGUUGCUGUCAUACUUGAAUUUAAAGUAUCAGGUAAGACUCGGCUCACAUCGGUAAGAAACAGACAUUUUUUACCCAAGUUUAUUAUCUGUUGUCUAGUGUACUGUAUAUCUGAAGUAGGUUAAGUGGUCUGAUGCCGUUUCAUAAGAGAGUGCGAUGAUAAGAAAACAAGGGCAUGUCACAUUGUUUUUGAUCAGUGAUAGAGCAUGAAGGAAAAGGCUGCACAUCAACACUGGAGACGCUCAAUUAAACCUGUGACAGUGAAGGAAAUAAACCUCCAUCAGUCUCACUUCAUUCACCAAAUUAAAUCAAUGUGCUCAUUCUGUCUGGUCCAUCCUGGUGAUAUAACUCAGUUAACUUUUAAAAACCUUAUUUAAGAUGUUUAAUUUCCCAGCUCGAAUAAGUAGAACAAAGAUGUGUGUGUUUGCUUUUAUGUUUUGCAGGGAUAAAAUGAGGGUUAAAUAAUAAGAAAAUAAAACACUUGGCGAGACAAUCUCAACCUCCCUGUGGGAUUUACAAUGAGCCUUAGCUGCCGACAGCUAUCACUAACACAAAAAGAGAGACAAACACAAAGUCAGGCCCAGAUUAAUGCCUUUUUUAACAUGAUUAAGACAUCCAGCUGAACCUCAGUGCUGCUUAAGAUAGCUUAUGGUCAAGACAAUGAUAUCGAGCUGUUUUACUAUUAGCUGCUCUUAAGUGAGGGUGUGUGUGAGCGCUUACCAUAUUACCCUCUUUACUGGUUUAGAGAAACAAGAUUAAGAGGUGUGAAAAGCUAUUUUUAGUCACUAUACUGCUAAAUAAACCCCUGCACGCAAUACAUGCAGGAAGAACAAGCUGAGUAGAAGUGACAGGAAGGCUAAUCUUAGAACUCAUGGACAAAGUGUUUUUACUACUGUUGUGUGAAAAGGAGAAUGUCUUGUACUCAUUUCUUCUGUCAACGUCAGGAGAGUGUAGAGGAGAGUAAAACUUGUGACAAACAUUUAAAACAAACAAGGUUAAGUUAAUGCUUUCUAAGUGAGACAGAAGCACCACAAAGGACAGGUUGUUAUUUUCACAAACCCAGCUGUGGCGAAAUUCAUCUUCUACAGGUAUACUAUACUAAACGUAUACUAAACUGGCCUCGGGCCACUCUAUUACAAACUGCAGCGAGGUGACGCAGCUCAAGGAAGAACAUUUAUGAUCAUUCCCUUUAGGUAAUAAUCACUAUAUUACUCAUUUUGCACUGCAGGCGCAGUAGUUCUUCUGCCUUAGUGUCUCAGUCUGAUUGCUUUUCCGUGGAGAAAUAAUCAUAAAUAUUCUUCCUUGAGCUACGUCACCCCGCCGCAGUCAUUAAUGGACUAGUUGAGGUCUCGCUACAAACAAGCGGCUGCUGGAAGAGUGUGAGUGAGUUGUGUUUAGUCUCUAAAGAAAUCAGGCAAAGUUAAAAGAUGUUUGGUGGCUAGUGCUAUGGCUAGGACCCUAUAUGUACUAUUGAUGAAGUUAGGUGCUGUUCUGAGCAUUAUUUGUGGCUAUAGAGUGGCGUUUUGGUUGAGGUUUGUGUAUGGCUCCUCAGACUGCUGUGUAUUGAUAUUGUGUGGUCGUUACUAAAAUCGGUAUAACUAAGCAAGCGGUCGGCAACAUUCAUCUCUCAAGGGAGUGUCUAACUCGGUGUUAAGAUGUAUUUGACCCUAAAUUAAUUUUAUGCCGGAAUAUCCCUUUAACAUCAAAAGACAUGGUGACGGAGCAGACAGAGUUAAGCAGUGAUAAAUAUUAUACACUACACUAUCUAAUGACUCUCUAGCAGCUGCAGGUGUGGACAGUAGAAGUAUGGGCUUUUGAAACCCUCACAGGCCGGUUAGGUUUAUGAACCAAAACUACUUAGGCUUAGGUAGGUUUAGUCUAAAUAAAUCUUAUUUUUCACCUAAGUUAAGUAACCAUGUACACUCAGCGACCACUUGAUUACGUACACCUGUUCAACUGCUUGUUAAGAUUGGCUAAUCAGCCAAUCACAUGGCAGCUGUAUGUGGUCAAGAGGACCUGCUCAAAGUUCAAACCAAUUCUGCGGCUGGUCAAAACUUUCAGUCCAUACUUAUUUCGAUUUACCAUUUACAAUAAAUAUAUUCUUUUAUUAUUUCCACGGAGGAUAAGAAGACCCAGAAACAAUUUAUGCAAAAUGUUUUUGAGGAAGCUGGCGAUCUCUGUUGUUGGGGUCACCCACCCUUUGAUGUACCAGUAAAGGUUUCUUGGCCUCAACACCAGGAUUAACAGCAGGGUGAGAUCCUGAUAACCAGGACAGAGCUCUCUGUGUGUGUGCAUGUGUGUGUUUGUGUGUAUUGGAGGGAGGUUGCCAUGCAAAAAAAGCAAAGAAAAAAAUGGCACUAAAGGAAGAUCUACAGAACAGUCACCGAAUCUUCUCCCCAAAACCUUUUUCUGUGUCACCACAAGUGUUGGACCUAACACACAAUGUUAUACAUCAGAGUUGAGGUUCCUUAUGUAAUUUUAGUCAGUCAGUAAAGUUACUUUCUCAGAAGUCAUUUACUACUGAAUAAAAAUGUAGUAUUUUCAAAGUGUCACUACAAAAAAAGAAAAUACUGAGGUAGAUCUCAAAGCCAGUGCUUGGGUGAGAAGGCAAAGCAGACAGCAUUUUCUUCUUGGUAAUAAUAAUAUGAAGCCUAAGAGGAUGUAGAGGAGCUACCUAACCAUAACUCCACAUAUUUGGACCUAAAAUAGUUUUGACCCCACUUAAUGGAAACUCAGACCGUAUGGAUAAUUAAUUGAAGUCUAUUAAAAGCCCCUUUGUAGUGUUUUCAUUGAAACAGCUGUGUUUACAGUAACACAGCAUGCCUCUGCCAAGGUUGCUGCCACAGUGUCAUCAGUAUAAAGAGGUGUAAAGAUUAUGGGCUGUAAACUGGGUUAUGUAAUGGCCAUAGUGUCGAUGCUCCCUGAACUCUUAAAAAGUAGACGUACUGUUGACUACAGGCUGUCUUGGGACGUACUGUUGACUACAGGCUGUCUUGGACCAAAUGACUAAUGUAUAAGGAGUUGGGGGGGGUUCAGCAGAUUUUUCAUACUCAGAAAUACAAGGGCACUCAUGUAUGUUGCUGUUGUAUUGAAUCAUCUUAAUCAUAAUCUGGUAACAUGCCUGCAGUGGGUUUCUAACGGGUCAGAAAAACUGGCUAUAUAACCAGAAUUUAUUUUACCCUUUAAUAUAUGUAUGAGUAUGAGCUAGCAGUUGGUCACAUAGCCCAAGAGUCCUUUCUUUAAACCCACUGUGCUUUGUGGGGGACUAUACACCAACUGGCCUUGGGAAUGGACCAAGAAAAAAUCCUGUAAAGGAAAAUGUCAGAAAUGGGUCAGGUAAGUCAUCAGGAAUAAUCAAGAUGUAGUUUUUUCUCUAAUAGGAUUUUGUUUAUUUUUAUUCAUUUAUCCUGCCAAAGGUCUAAAGCUGCCAGCUGGGUUUUACAACAAAAGCAAAGCAAGCACACUGAUGCACACAAACACCACAUUUACCAAGCAAACAGCAUGGCAUAAGCCGCAUCCCAAAUAGGGUCAUUCAUAAUGAAAGGGGCUUUAGAAGUGCCAGGCUUUCACCCAACAAAAAAGGUGGGCAUUUAUCGACACAACAGCAUGCUCCAUUCGAUUUGGAUUAUGUAAGACCUAAAAUCAGUGGGGGUAGCGCCCUCUAGAUAUUUUGAUUUUGGGGUUUUGAGGUAACAAGUGCCAAAAAGCCCUAACAGACAUUUUAUCUGUUGGGCUCUGUUGGUGUGAGAGUUGUUAAAACACAGCUGCUCCUGCCUGUCUGGUAACUCUAUCCGGGUUAAUACACAGCAGGCCUGAUCUCUAAAGGCCCCGGGGUUUGAGCUGCCAUAAUCCUCGUACCUCUCAUAUCACACAGGAGCAGACACUGCAGGUCCAGGGUCAGUACUCAACCUUAGCAACCCAGUCUUAUUCUUUUCUGUCCACUUUCAGAGCCAAAAAUAUAGUUUCUGUUCUACCAAGAGAAACCUGGCCUGUUUCAGGGCUCUCUUUAAAAAUUUGUGUUUUUUCAAAUAAUAUGUGUUUAUUUCAUUUUUAGCACAGCACAUUAUUGCGUGUGCGUGUUACAUAAAUCAUACAGGCCAGUUGCAUAAAAAAUACAAAAGAUUGUGGUCUUAUUGUUGGGUUUCAAUGGUCUGCAGCAGACAAGGACAUUGCUUCCUUUUAUACAGGAGCACGUAUGUAGGUUUACUGUAAAUAAGUGUUGAUGCUAUAUUCCACAGCAACAAGGACCCCAUACUAUGACCACAGAGUUAUUUCAACCCAAUAGAGGUCUGGGAGUUCGUUUUCUUAUGUGAACUUACUUCUUAAAAGUAAUUCGGGGUAGUCAAAUAACUAUUCCCUUGACAAUAAUAUAUUUUACCCUCUAUGGUCAGUCUGGAGCUUUGUAAGGGGGUCAUGAUGUAGACAGAGUUGAUGUUUAUGUUUCUUGAGAACUCAACUCUUAAAAGAGAGAAUAGGCUCUGAUGGAAUGAGAAAACUUAAUGAAACCUCAACAUGAAGUACCCAUAUUCACUGCUUAAGACUGACUGGUGUGGCAAGUUGAAACCCAGACAGAGUGAAAAAUGCUCUCCUGGCUUGAGCGCAUGGGUUUAAUGCCAAGGUGAUGAAGUUUCCACAUAGUUCUUCCUGUCUGUUUCUUCAUCUCUGUCCUUCUUCUUACCUUGAAUUUUUUCUCGCAUCAGGGACGCGUGUAUCUGUGAGUAGCAGGAGAGCCUAACCGUGAACUCAUGUACAUUUAAGAUAACUGUGUUUACAUCUUACUUUAUGUGAGGUUGUUGUCUGUAUAAAAACUCCCUGUUUUGUGUGACCCUGUAUACCCCUGUGGUGGUGUUUGUGUGUAAAUGCAUGUGCGCAGUCUGGGACACUUAUUAUACCCUUCAAAUAUUUAUGAGAGGCUGUUCUCUCAAAUUUAUAGUCUAGAGGCCGAAAGAAAUGCAGGCAUUUUCUCGUGAACCUGGUUAAUUCUGCCAAGGUGAAAGGCGCCGUUUAAAAGAAGAGAGGCAAAAUGAAGAGAUUAUGGAAAGCAAGGCAGACAGGCAUGAAAGAAGUCAGACAGAAAGACUGGAAAGAAAUAUGCUACACUUUUGACUGCCAAAAAGUCUAAAAUGGCAAAAUAUUUAAAGCAGAAGAGCUCAAAGAAAGUAAAUCAUUCCUAAAAGCCCAUAUUCUGCGUCAUGAUGAGCUUAGACAGCAUUUUCAUAAAUCCCUUAUUGUUUUCUGUGAUGGAUCUGGCUCCAGGUCUACAACAAGACUAUCAACUUGAAAAUCUCCCUGAAGGAACUUUUCAUUCCUUUGUCAAGCUGAAUCACGUUUAAACAUUUACUCAGAGAACAAGGACAGACAAGUUACCAAAGUACAACAACGUUCUCUUUGCACAAUCCAUAUUAGUCCAUAUGGUUUUGCAGUACAUGAUUUAGAUCCAAUUUUAAUGCUCAGUACAGAAGUGAGAUUUAAUGCCUCCUCAGUGUGGCAGACCUAGAAACAAAUGUUGUGACAGGUGUGGAGGUGGAAAGGAAUAUAUUGUAGCAAAAAGACUAUAGUGUGAAAAAAGUCCCUUUGCUAAAUCCUUUUGUAAAACAGUCCUCUUACAGGUACAUUUAUGUCUCACUAAGCAAUACCAAAUGUCUUAAACAAGACAUUUUAAAGGUGGGACAAUGUAUUCUCAAAGAGAAAACACUAUAAAGUGUCAUGGCCUGAGUUAUUUUUAUGAAAAACAGUAAUUUUUCAGGAAAUUAUUUACUCAGGAUAGCAGAAGAGACUUUAAAAGCAUGGAGUUGCUGUUGCAGCAGCUGUGAUCAGACUUUCGCCUUUAUGUGUUCGGUGUGUGAUGUAACCACUCAGCUAGAAAGGUGUCUCAUGAAGCGAGUACAUUCUGACCAAAUCCCCAGGCUGUAUUUUUUUAUUCCUUUAUUUCUGUUCUUCAACCCCCAUGGCUGUAGUGCAUUUUCCAUGAGAAGUUACUGUAGCUUCUUUCAAAUUUGCACUCUUGUCAUUUCUACGAAAUUCUCAGAUGCUUGAAGACCCACUCUGAUGAAAUUCAUGUGUUUCUUGUUGUCUACAUGUUCAUAUGGCAUUUUUCUGAUGCGACGGGACGUAUCAUGAGAAAACUAAGUGCAAAAUUGCAUAUCUGAGAAUUUCUGCAUUUAAAUCGCUGUAAUUUCUGGCAGACCCAAACGGCAGGUUCAGAUACAGUGAGAUUUCCUACAUAGUAAAUCCAAACUCUGCCCCCGGAGCCCAGCUAUGCAGGCCACACUUGGAGAAAUAGAAAUGACAAUCGCAAAACAAGUGCGUGCGUGAGCAGCUUGCAAUGCCCGUAAGAAAGCUAAAUAUGAUCUUAACUUUAAUCAUGGCCCUGAAGAUAUUAGAAGAGGUUAGAUAUAACUUUACUUUUGAACUGGAUGGAUCAAAUCAAAUACAGGGUAAAAAUUUAAGAUGUAUGCAUUCACACAUGAAUUCUACCUAAAAAAUGUCGGGAAGAUUUUGUGCAUGUGUGAUCUCAGCUUGUGAAUUCUGCUUUAUGUGAACAUCAUCGUAAAACAGCCUAAACAAAAAAAAGCAAGUCUUUCAUAGGCAAGUGUCCAACAGGUCAUUUGUUCCCAACCUGGGCUUGGGAGUCCCCUAAGGUGCAUUGGGGUGGAUACAAGGCUGUGUCUCCUCUGAAGUUUUCCAAAUUAAAGUUGCGCUUAUUGACUUCAAAUCGACACUCAGAUAGUUCUAGUCCUGAUAGGAAACUGUGCAAGAAAUAAAUUUUCCCCAUACUUCUUUUUGGAAGAACAUUGCACUGCAUUGAACCACUUCAUUAGAUGAUGACCAGUAGAAAUGUGUAUUUUAAAGCAAGCUGUAUUGACUUUUUAGAAAUGCCGUCUUGUGACAUGAUUUAAGGUUGUCCAAUACUCAACACUUUUUGGGUCGUGUGCUGAAAUAGUCAUAAGAAACAUUCAAACAGGAGUUUCAUAUGCUCAUGUUGCAUCAUUCAAAUCACUUUUAUUUUGUAAGGGGGAAAAAAGAGGCAUUGUUUCCAGGACUAGGGUCUCCAUUUGGCAUUCGGCAGUGUGAUUCUCAGGAAUGCUUGGCUUUGGUGUGAGUUACAUGAUAAAACAAGGGGGCCACUGUGAGGGAUUUAACACUAUGAUGGACCAACGGUCCCCUCUAAGGAAUACGCAGCUAGAGGUUCAGAUGAUAUCAAUCAGCACAACAUCUGCACACUAAUCUGCUGUGGCGCCCUGCUCUGAGAAAAGCUGCCAUUAGCACACUUCCCAGUUAACAUGAAGAGACACAUAUACAUACAUACACACAUUAAUGCACCCACACUGGUAAUCUGCGUUCGCACGAAUUGAAGUAAUGUGAUCGUUUGCUGCUUUUGGCAGUAACUCUAAUCUCUGAAACAGCAUUUGAAUGAAAGAGCUGUGUCACUUUAUCAGGUUGAAUGAUUAAGAAAUCCCAGAUAACAAGGUAGAUUUUCUGAUGGAGGAACAUGAUUACUCGGAGAUGCAUGAGCUCAACUAGGACGGUGUAAAUGCGUUUGUAUCAAGGCCAAAUAAUCUGAACCAAUCUUGACUACAAGAGCAGCAAAACUAUUGUACACCGAAUAACAGAUUUUUCCUCUUGAAGAGUUACAUGCAAACUGAGAUCAAUUAACAACACCAAGAGUGACUAGUUAUGAUUUAAAUAAUCACUGAAUUAAAACAAAUAAGUCCAUUGAUGUCUUUUCUUGGUAUUUUAGCCCAUUGAGCGUAGAGAGUACCUUUUCUUUUCAUAUCUGACUGCUCCUGUGAACUCUGGUGACCUCCAAUAUUGUUUUCUCAUCCAGAUUCCCAGGUAAAUGUUCGGAAGCUUCUAAGAACUGCCUCAUGCUGAAACCACUCAGGCACUCAGAGUUUUAUUUCUGUAAACAAAUACUCCCCGAUACUUCUGCCAGAGCCGGCACUUGGUACCUUGUAGCUUCAAACAUGCUCUUAAUAUUAUGUAACUGAUUGAGGAUAGUGAAGCUAGUGUGGGCACAUAAAAGCAUGUUUUUGUUGAAUAUCGCUCAGUUGUGUUGAAUACAUCCAGACCAGCUGAUGAUGGCAUUCCUUGGUAUGGUAUUUCCCUUUAAUAUUAUCUCGAGUGCACUGCUUCUUGAAGUGCUGUCCUGAUCUCAGGCUCUGGGGAGUAGAACUGUAAUCAUAUCAAUCUGUGGAAAAGAAGCCUGAUAAACUAGAAGUUGGCCCAUUUACUGUGACAGAAAGAAAUAAGAGUGGAGGAAAGAUAAGGAGGACUUUAAUACACAAAAUGGGUGAGUGAGCUAACACAGGAAUAGACAGAAACAGACAACAGCAAAGGACAUAAUUGUAUUUAAAGACUUGGAAAGUGCAAGAAAAUGCAGAGAGACUUGGAUAAUGUUGAGUCAGAUUAAACCCUAUUAGUGACCCUAUCAGGUGUUAUAAUUUCCUAUUAAAAAUGUCAGGUUAAAUAUGGGUUAUUGCAGGUGAGCGACCUGAUUUUACUGUUGCCAUGGAAGCAGUUUGAACUUUAGGGUCUGAGGGAUUAUUUCUUGAGCAAAAAGGGAUGUAAUUUUUAACUAAUUUGUGAAAUGUGUCAUGAAAUAGAAAGUUUUUGUGAGCUGUGUAUAAAGAUGCCAUUGGGUUGCCAAGCACAGUUCAAGAUGGGACUGCAUCCAUCUCCAGUCAGUUGUCCUGCUGAGACCUGAAGAAAUGUCUCUGUGAUGAACUUUGAAGACAAAUGGAGGGAUGGGCCCAGGGUUGUACAAAGGCUGUAGACAGCCCCUUUGGAUAUUGUGUAUGUGGGUCAGAGAUAUAUCUGCACAGCCCUGCGCCAGAUUUAGCAGAUUCCUCCUAUUGUUUGUGUCAACACAGGAGGACACAAAGCAAACAAAUGAAGCUUGUUAGAAAGUGGGGCCCUAUGUGAGACUUUAGCGAAGUCUUUUGAAAGUCACAGAAGAGAGUCUCUAUAGCAGGAAAUGAUGGUGCGCUCCAUUGUUCAAAGACAAGGGAGGCUCACCACUCCACAGCCAUUGUCUGGAAAUAUUUCUAUAAGCUUUUUGCAAGGACAACAUUAAUGCAGUUUGACUACCAUGUCUAAUUAUUGUCCCAGCAGCUCUUGCUAGCAAGCUAAUGAGACUUUAUGAACAUAAAGCUCAUUUAUUGAAUACAAUGGGUGGGGGGUACAGUUGGCACUGAAAAAACAACCUCCAGCUAGGUCAUAAUGAGUUUGUCUAAUCACUAAUGAUAACAUUUCAGUAGAAAUGGGGCCCUUUAUUUUCACAGAUAAUUAGAGAGGUCACACAGCUAUCCUUGAAAAACAUUACCAGGAAGAGACACAAUUUUCUGUGCAAUAAUGAGGCACCUUUGCAUCCACACUCUAUGCUACAACACACACUCAGACACAAAUGUUCAUUAAAACCCAUACAAAUUUCUAUCAUAGCUGUGACCUUGCUGGUUCCAUUGUCCCUGACUCCUAGUUGUAAUUGCCAUUUAUGUGUUGCAUAAUCAUAACAGGUCAUAUGAUAAAAAUGGCAACAGGCAAUUAAAGAAACAAAAAGACCCUGAAGUUUGAUGAACGUUCAAAAACAGACGCAACAGGAAUAGCACGGCCCGUACUUGUCCAUUCCUUUCUGCUAUCUCAAACAAUCUGUCUUUGGACAGAAAUCAUAACAGCAUCAAGAUUUUUGGCUGCAGUCAUAGUGAGAGAAAACAAAACUUCAUCAAGCCCUUGAUAAUCUCUCCCUACAUGAUCCAAAAAAGGAGGAAUUUAUGAAAAAAAUUCGUUUUUUUUUUCAUGAUGGUACAUUUCCCAACCUGUUGUAUCAUACUAAAAAACUCCUCUGUUAUUGUACGAAACCGGUUUGGAUCAACUCCCUGUCAUAUAUGACAGCCUUGUCACCACUCCCUUGUAUUUUCUUAGAAAAUUACCCACAAGUGGAGGCAUUUCAAGGAUUUUCACUCCUUGGCAGGUCCAUCCACUAUUGACUGCAAACUCAAAACAUAUGGGUUAUAAAAAUACACAGUUCAUGUCAAAGAAUUUGCGUUUGGAUGACCGACUCUUUGCAGACAUGAUCAUUUGGAAUUAAGCCCAAACAUGACCAAAUACUGAUUCUGUAAAUCCCAAAAGUUAGAAAAGCAGUUAAGUUUGUUCCUCAGAGAUCUAUAUGGUUUCACUUUAUAAUACCAGUUUGAGAUUUGUGGAGAUUUAACAUAAUUUCACUUCCUGACACCUUUUUACUUAAAAAAAAGCAACUAAAAUGCUAGAAUGUUUGAUAUUGUGUUCGGAGACUGAACAAAGGCAAUGCCUUAAUUGCGUAAAUAUGCUUAUUUGCUUUCCUGCCAAGGGUAAGCUGCAUAUUUAAAUGCUAUUCACAUGAUGCUGCUGUAAAACAAAGGGAAGCUGUCACAUGCUCAUGAAACAAUGCCAUUCUCUGAUGAUUGGACAAACAACAAUUUGACUUUGGAGGCCCUAAAAAGCAGAGUUUACCAUUUGACAGAGCCAGGCCAGCUGCUAAUGCUGUUACCAGUCCCAGCAAGGUCGGUGACUGCUGACAAUGAGCUCUUUCAUAAAAGACUUUUUUGACCUUCUUCCAUCCCAGUCACCUCAGAUGUUCACCCUUCAUCACAGCUCAUGUAUUUUCUUUACCACAGCCAGUGUCUCGGCUCAGUUGGUGGGUGAUCUCUUCAGUACUUUUGAGACGUUGAAGACCGCUAAACAAGGUCUAAUUGCUUAUGACGUUGCACAUUUAGGAACAUUUUUUCUAAAUCAGGUGAAAUAAAUCAAAGUUAGCUCAAAAUCAUGCCUUAGCUGAUUGAAAUAGUAGUUUUACAAAAGUUCAAAAUCACCACCUAAAGUGGCAAACACAGGGUAGAUGACGGUGGAGAUUUAUCACGACCUGUUACUUAGAUCAUUGUACCCUAUGCUUUCUCCAGGAAUCAAACAUACAAUGUGUGUUUUCCCUUUUUAAUUUGCAAUGCUGUAUUAAGAUCGCCUGUUAUUGGCGCUGUAACAUCCUCUGGGUGGUGUAAAAACAAAUGUGUAUUUUCAAUCUAACAAACAAAACUUUCCAAAUAAAAUUCAUUCAUUCAUUUAAAUAUGAUCAUGAAGCCUGGUGUAACCCAUUGACUAUACUCUGGAGUGUCAGUUCAUAGACACGCAUUGAGUUACAGUCCCUGACCCUUGCAUAAAAAGUGAUCCGCUACAGAGGUAGGAGUUGUUCAGUUGGGGGACUAUUGUGAUAAACUGAGACCUUGUGUCUGAAUUGCCAUGUAUGACUACAACAACUUAUCCUACAAGUGGCUCCAUCCUAGUGUUAGGGUCUGCUAGCACUUGGUGCUGCCAGUGAGCUCAACACUUUGCCAACUGAGGUGACACAUAGCGAGUAAUUAUCUUCAGCUGAGAGGAAGGAUUAUGCAACCAUAACAGAGGAAAGACUCAUACAGCCUAAUGAAACAGUUUUACAAUCAAUUCUACUCCUGUAGCCUAAUGUUUGAUUUUUGUUGAUCUGUUGUAGGUCAGACCUAGCACUUGUCAUUUUCAAGAUAUUUUGAGGUGUUGUUGAACUGCUUUAGAUAUUUUUAAUGCUACUUUUUUUGACAACCUAUUAAAUCAAUUAGGGAAGACUACAUAACGGAGACACCUUGGCGGACUUGGUGUCUCCAAGAAUAACAAACCAUGCCCUGUUAAUGCACCUGCUUCACAAUUGUUUGUGUGACUGUGCUCUGAGACUGCUGGCUGAAUUGUUAGGCAAUGGAAAGUUUGUAUGAAAAUGAGCUAAAAGUUAACUCUUACAGGCUUAAAAGCUUCAAUUAUGGUUUUCUUACAGUCCGCAUGGAAAUUUUUAGGCCAAGAGUGUUGAACUCUUUAGUGUAAUCAAUCACAAUCAUAUGGGUGAUACAGCAUGAAGCCUUCAAGUGACAAAGUAGAAACCUACAUACUUUACAACAUAUGUGGAAUAUUAAAGAACGAAAUAUGAAUGAUUUUCUCAUGUGAUGUUUUUACAGCUGCAGCCACAGAGGAUUUUUCCCCGUGAGGACACCUGUCCCUUCUCUUAACUGUAAUCAUCAAUUAUUACUGAGUUUGGAAAAGUUUUACUUUGUUUCUAGAUAUAACAAGUAAAGUUUCAUCAUCUUUUUUUCAUUAUUAUGGGAAUGUAAUGUGAAAGUCAUCACCUGGACAAACAAGCCUCACAUUGCGGUUUGUGUCUGUCUAACAAUUGUCUCUCUUCGUACCUUCUCCCAUGCUUUCAGUCUUCAAAGAGCUUGUGUACGAGUGAACCAACUCGUACUGUUCAUUGUGAAACAUAACUUGAAAAAUUCUUGUCCUGAAAAGGCCGUGCAAGAGUAUGUUAUACAAUAAUCCCUGUUAUGUUAUACGAGUGUGAAAGGACAACAACAUUUUGCACAUCAUGUAUCUGUUGAUACAUGUCUCUGCCAGAUAGUCUUUGCCUUGUCCUUCAGAAUAGCAUGCUAAAUCUUUUGUUGGAUAUAAGUUUAAGUGUUUCUGGCAACUUAGAGCUGCUGUAGUCGGGUAAUCUUAUUUAAAGUUCUGUAACAGGGCUUAAUACCUGCUGUGAGAUUGGCGGGGUCAAUUGCUGUUGGUUUCACAAGCAUCAACAUACUUUCUCAUAUUAAUGCUGGAAUGUUUGGACAAAAAAAUGCUUUGUUUCACAACUUCAUGAAAAUGUAGUGAAGCAGAGCUAGCUGGUUGAACCUCCAAGGACGUGUGAAAGGCUGCAAGUGUAGUGUUAUUCUAACCUCUCUCAUGGGAGACUUUUGCAGCAUCUGGUUACGUAGUGUAAAUCCAUUCAUCAUGAUGGGUCCCCUCAAUCACCCAGAUACAUUCAUCCACAUUGUCAGUUAGUGAGUGUCGUCGCCAUAAUGUCUUCUCAUAAUCUGCCACUCCCAUUGUCCCUUUCUCUAACAGUGCAAGUUUGACUAAAUCACCCUCCUGCCUCUAAUUCCCUCAGAUUAGAUCCAUCCUAAAAUAAAUACCUGUCUAUACCCUCACCAGGUUAAGCUUUUCAACAUGCAUUAGCUGAUUCCUUAUCCUGCCUGUCUGAAGCUCUGUCUGAUUACUCAGACUCUGACUGUGUUCCCGAUCCCUGUCAGUGAAGUUUACCUCCUUGUGACUGAUUGUUUAGCGGGAUAAGCCUUUGUGAUUGAGUAUUUAGCCGUAUUGUUAGACAGUCUUGCUUGUGAGACCUUGCUUGCUCUUUGUCAAGGAGCAUAGCAGAAUUCUUGCACCUGCUGUGUGUUAUAUUAGAUAAAAGCACCUGCAUUAUUAUGUAAUGGCACUCAGCUGACUUUACAAAACAGACUUUUUUCCCUCAAUGUCAACCCUGAAUUAGCUUAGAAAGUGGCAUAUAGUUAACCUUGGACAGAAUACGUUUUGAUAUAAUGUUUGCUGUGGUCAAGUGCUCAACAGGACUUUUAAAUCAUUUGGUGUAAUAAUUAAAAAAAAAAAAAAGAAAUGCAUCUUCUUUCAGUAUCCACCUAUGCCAUUAUUGUAUGCCAAAAUGUGCAACACCAAGACCCCCAAACGAAAGCAGCCAAAUUACCAGCAUUUCUCUUGUUACCACUUCUCAACCUUUCCUCAUUUUCAACUUGUGGCAUGAUGUCCCUCCCUGUGGUUAAUCUCUUUUGACAUGAAAAUGUUAAGUUAUAUUUAGGAUGGUCCAAAGUUGCUUUCUCCAAUUACCCAUUAAUGAUUUACUCCCUCAUGACCCACAGUAGAGGAAUGCAGUUAUACAGGGCAGCUCCUCAAAGCCCAUGAGUCACAUUUGUCUUUAUUACUAACAUAAUUGAUUGUCAAACCUUCCCUCCAUUGACAAUACAGAAAUAGGUCCAAUUGUUCACAGCAUUUGUUUUGACAACAGAGUCAGAUCCCAAAGAUACCAGGGUGCCUGGAGCAUAAUGGGGUAGUCACCCAGCUGAUAAGGGAAGCCAGAGAAAACAAGGGCGACCUAGUUGUGCUGUGGCUGGACCUCACAAAUGCAUAUGGGUCCAUACCCCACAAGCUGGUCAAAGAAGCUCUACACCGGCACCAUGUCCCAGCCAAGUUCAGAGACCUCAUAUUGGACUAUUACAGCAGGUUCAGUCUGAGAGUCUCAGCAGGGUCCACAACAUCGGACUGGCAUAAGCUGGAGAAAGGGAUCAUAACAGGAUGUACUAUUUCUGUGAUCCUCUUCGCUCUAGCCAUGAAUAUGCUAGUGAAGUCUGCAGAGGUCCAGUGCAGAGGGCCCCAAACCAAGUCCGGUGUCAGGCAGCCACCCAUCAGGGCCUUCAUGGACGACCUGACUGUGACAACACCAAACGUCCCAGGGGGCAGGUGGAUUUUGAAAGGCCUGGAGGAGCUAACCACCUGGGCCCGUAUGACCUUCAAGCCCGCAAAAUCCAGAGCUCUCGUGCUGAAGAAAGGAAAGGUCACCAACAAGUUUCACUUCACACUCGACAGCACCCAAAUACCAUCCAUCACUGAAAAGCCGGUGAAGAGCCUGGGGAAAAUGUUCAGCUGUAGCCUAAAAGACACAGCAGCCAUCCAGUCAACCAACCAAGAGCUGGAGGCAUGGCUAGUCACAGUGGACAAAUCUGGCUUACCGGGCAAAUUCAAGGCCUGGGUGUACCAACAUGGCAUCCUCCCAAGGAUUCUCUGGCCCCUCCUGGUGUAUGAGAUCCCAAUCUCUACAAUUGAGAGCUUCGAGAGGAGAGUCAGCAAGUUCCUAAGGAAGUGGCUGGGACUGCCUCGAAGCCUCAGCAGCAUCGCACUAUACGGGAAAAACAACAUGCUGAAGCUACCGAUCAGCAGCCUGAAUGAAGAGUUCAAGGUGAGCCGUACUAGAGAGGUGCUGCAGUACAGAGAGUCAAGCGACCCAAAAGUCUCUCAAGCCGGGAUCGAAGUCAGGACGGGGCGGAAGUGGAGGGCAGCAGAGGCCGUGGAUGCUGCAGAGUCACGGCUGCGGCACAGGGUGUUGGUGGGGACGGCGGCCCGGGGAAGAGCAGGCCUAGGUAGCGGUGCAACACCUCGCUACGACAAGGCUAAGGGGAAGGACAGGAGGGCACUGCUCCAGGGAGAGGUGCGAGCAGCAGUGGAGGAAGAGAGAACCAGCAGGAUGGUUGGAAUGCGGCAGCAGGGAGCCUGGAUGCGUUGGGAGCAGGCGGCAGAGCGCAAAGUCACUUGGACUGAGCUUUGGAAAGCUGAGCCCCAGCGCAUUAAAUUCCUCAUCCAGGCCGUCUACGACGUACUGCCGAGCCCGUCUAAUUUAUUCUGCUGGGGAAAGGUUGAGUCGCCUGCCUGUGCACUGUGUCAGAAGAGAGGGACCCUGGAGCACAUCCUGAGCUGCUGUCCAAAAGGCCUGAGUGAGGGGCGCUACCGCUGGCGCCACGACCAGGUUUUGAAGGCCAUAGCAAACACCAUCUGCAAUGGAAUUGCCCACUGCAAGCACCUGCGCCCAACAAGGAAGUCCAUCUCCUUCAUCAGAGCCGGGGAGAAACCACCAGCUGCUGUCAGGACCACCUCCUCUGGCCUGCUAGCAACGGCUCAAGACUGGGAGCUGAAAGUUGACCUCGGGGAACAACUGGUAUUCCCAAAGAAUGUGGCCACAACAUCGCUGAGGCCAGACGUGGUACUGAUCUCAACAUCCUCCAAGCAGGUCGUGCUGCUGGAGCUCACAGUACCAUGGGAAGACCGAAUCGAGGAGGCCAACGAGAGGAAGAGGGCCAAAUACCAGGGUCUGGUGGAGGAAUGUAGGCUCAAUGGGUGGCGGGCAAGAUGUGAGCCCAUCGAGGUGGGAUGCAGAGGGUUCGCAGGCCAGUCCCUCUGCAGAGUCUAUAGCAUGCUGGGCAUCACAGGACCUAGAAAGCAAAGGGCCAUCAAGGAGGCCACGGAGGCAGCAGAGGUUGCCUCACGGUGGCUGUGGAUCAGGAGAGGAGACCCGUGGGUAGGGUAGCAUUAACUGGACACAAGCUGGGGAUUGAUCACCCCCGGCUGGGUCGCCUGGAGGAGAGUGUAUGAUGCUUGAAAGACCCGAAACACUCGAUGAUCCCAGGUAACAUCACUGAUGAUGUGUCCAGGUUGCAUCACUAGGUGAUGUAUGUCACAAGGUCCAAUUGUUCACAGCAUUUGUUUUGACAACAGAGUCAGUUCAGAUACGCUAACGUCAUGAUUGCAAUAUUAAAUUGAAUAAGUCAGGGACUGUCUGCUGAAUUAAAUCUUAUACACUCACUCAAGAUGGAUUCAAUUCACAGUUUAGAGGUAGAGCUUAACUCCCUAAAGGGGGAAUGUGAUAUAAACAUUUGGAAAAUGAGCAUCUUUAUAGGACCUGUCAUCAAAGGCCUGAUUGUAUUAUCAUAGGUUAUAAUUAAAAGGGUGACUCUGCAAUUAAACUUGAACUCUUAUACAAUCAGCUGCCGCGGUCUUUGCAUCAAUGUAGUUAUGAAAUCUGACCUGGAUAUUUUACUGCUAUAUUGUCAAUCAUAUUGUCAGUCACUACUGAUAAAGGGACUAAAUUGUUAAAUAAGAGGCUCAUCACUUAAUUAUAUGUGUUAUUGUUGCUGCAUAUAGAUGGAAAGUUAGGUAAUGGAAAUGGCAGAGAAACAAAAUCAUCAAUCAGGUUUGUCCUUGGUUAGUAAUGCACACUGGUGAGAAAUCGUUUACCUGUUCUAGUCCAUCUAGUCCAAAAUCUUAAUAUAGAAGUAAAUUAUAUUGGUAAUUUUUUAGACAUUGAGAAAUUUCAUUAAAAAGGAUUAAAAGAAAUAUGAUGACAGGUAACAUCUGCUUUACUCAAUUUAAUCCAACAUUUACAAUUUAGCUGCAGUUCAAUGGAAACUGAAUGACAGCAAAACAGCAACCACAGGGGCCAAAGUCACUGUAAAUACUGCCAUACUUCUAAUUAUGCAUUGAAUUUCCCUUCAGUGAUAAAUGAAGUUCUUCUUAUCUUAUCUUAAUUAAGUUUAGUGUCUCAGGAAUAUUUUACCAUUUUAAUCCCUACUGUCCACCUGUUUGUAGUGUUCAAAGGUUUGUUAAACAAAAAAAUCACAGUUUUCAUACAUUUCAAGUUUCAAAUGUUCCAGAGAAGGCAUUGGUGUAGUAGGAGGAAGAAAAGUAGAACCAGAGCGAGGUGGUCAUGGUAAUAAGGUUGUGGGCACUGCUGUCUCACAGCAAGUUGGUGCGUACAGCUUUCCCAUCUCAAUGCUGGACCUUUCUGCCCUCCUCUGACCGGGUUGUUGAUCAGGGUUUUGACCUGCCAUAAAGUACUGGUAGUAAAUAAACUCAGAACAAACUUGACCAAGUAAGUACUGGAUGGCAGCACUGUGUGUGGUGGUUAGGUCUGCUGCAUUACGGUUGCUCAGGUCUGUUUUGAUCUGCUGCCUUUAGUGGUAAAGUUACCAGCUGGUAUUAGUCUGUUUAGCUGCACCUGUAUAUUUAACUCAAACUCACAGUAUUUUGAUGGUAUUUCAAUUUUGUUCUGGUCUUAGUAAACAUUUGUCUCAACUUGUCAGGUGAUCCCCCCUGAGAUUUUAAAGUGAGUGCCAUGCUGUGAUGGCAUGUUGACGGCGGUGAACAGUGCACCGCCAAUAGAUCAGCUCCCUGAUGAUGUCACCUUUUCCUGUGUGAAGCUUUAUCAGUGAGGUCAGACCCCAAUAUUAUGCAAGUCAUUUUCCCUGCCAGCUGUCUUUUUCUCAAAGUGACUUUCCCUAACGCUUGUUGUCCGUGUCCUUACUGCACCCACUUUUCUCUCAUAAGUGCACAAAUGACAGCUAAUGUGACUCCAGAUUUCAAAAUGUGUUGUAUUUUCAAUAUGUGUGGUGAGACUAUUCCUUUAUCUUCUUUUUAAAGUAUCCCAGUGUCAGUAAGGGAUAUGUGCAGUCAAAUGAAUAGUUCCCUAAUAUACUGAUUUAAUAGACCUCAUUCAGUCCUUGAAGUAAAUGUUGAUUAUUUGCCUCCCAUUGACGUAUUUGGUCGUUUGUUUCUUACUUGCUUCUCUAGACCCAUUCUUCUAGCACUCCAAAAGUUUUAUAUCAAACCUUUUCUGGUAGAAAUAGUACACAUGUAAAAGGCUUAUCUUUACAAACUGUGUGAAGGAGAAUCUUGUUGACCCUUUUUGCAGAGAUUUUUGGUCUCAUAUACUCAUUUUUAGAGUUGCAUCAAAGUUUGUUGACUAAAAAAUGUUGGCGAAAGCAAUAAAGAUGACGAAAAGCAGGAUAAGGUUUUUGGUGAGUAAGUACCACUACAAAAUAAAAAUCAAACACUUCAGCUUGUUCCAAUAAACCUUGUUUUCAAAAAACCUUCUACCCCCUAAAACAUCCGAACGUCACAUACACCGUAUACACUGGGAUGCCAAAUAUAACUUAUUACAACAGAACUAUAUUUCCUGCAGCUGAAUUGCGCAUGACCUACUGGUUGGCAAAAGCACUUUUGCUUAAAAUGUCCUGCAGCUCUAUCAAUGGACCACAUGGAAGCUUCUUAGCCCCCUGCACAGGGACUCCUCAACCUAUCUACUUAAGUCCUUUCCACUUUAAUAGGGUUCAUUCUGCAGUUGUAGCUCUCUGAAGUGGAUGGACAGGUAGCCUGGCUCUGACUGAUUGAACUUCUAAAUCCCCGCAGGGAAAGUUCACUUACAUGUUUUCAUCUCCCCGAAGGGGCCAAGAGAUUUUAGAAGCCAUACGGUAACGAGUACUUUUACUAAUAAGGGACUUGAUCAAAGAGCGAAGUGGUCAUGUUUUUCACUCUCAAAUUUGGACACAAGAGGACUUUAAAAAGUUCAAAAACUUUGAAGUGUUAUCUUCAGUGCAUGAAGAUAUCCUGCGUUAAAGAAAUGCCAGUGGAUGAUCUAACCUCAACAAACUUAAGCAAGAAUACUCGUGUAACUUUUUUCAAAAGAAUUUAAUGGAUUGUGGCAGAAGAGUUGGUAAAAUAAUGAAAAAGAUAGAAUUGGAUGAGGGACUCCCGGUCUACACGUGUGGCCUGAAUAAGGAGGGUAUGCCUCGAGGUGUUGGCCCAGGUUCACUCCCUGUCUCUCCCUGUUUUAGACUGUGUCGACUGUCCUGUCCCCUCGAGAUAGAAGCAAGACCUCUCCAAAUUGUUUUGGUGAAUGUGGCUAACUUGAGCAAAACUAACUUUCGAUCUUCCUUGCGAGUUAAUAUCUAUGUGUUGGUUUCGCGAUGGAGGCUGUUAUUUCUUUAUUUUUAUGACGUGCGACAACCAGCAUUAAGAACCACAUUAAUGGCAUCACAGAAUUACCAUAUGCUAAGUUAUGAUAGGUUAAAGUGCAAUGCCUAAAUUCCAUCUAAAAAUAUACAGAAUCUAGACGGUUGAAAUUAGAUCUAAAAAAAACUAGAUGUCUAAUAGCCGUCUGUUGCUCAGUGGGAUUAAUUGUAAGUACCAGUACAUUGCAACAGCCCUGGUACAUCCUUAGUAUGUGAUGCAGCCACAUAGUAUAAUGAAACACACAGUUUGGUCUUCCUCUUUUCCCUGCUUUAAAUGUUAUCAAUCAGUACAGCGAACAUACCUUUUCUAAAGAUCAUGCAUGACUAUCUGACCUGACCUGACUGGUGAUCUGUAUGGCACAUUACCGAAUGUAUGAUGCUUAAGCUGCUGCCCCUCUAAUCUGCUUUCAACCUAUAUUUUCCACAGCUGUCUCGUUUCCUCUCACCCUUUCAUGUACACCAUUAGCAGAAUACCUGCCACGUGAAAAUGCCAUCAGCUGCAGUGAGUGAGAAAACUCCUGGGAAAUGUGCUAGCUACAAAGGUCUGCCAAAGCUGCUUCCUAUAAUGAUGGGACACUCUGUCACCACAUAAUAUACGAUGAGGAUGUCAAGGGUGGAGACUGAAUGGCUCUUUAUUACAGGAAUCGAUUGAGAAAGUGUGUUUAAGUCAUUGAUGAAAAACAUCUCUCAAGGCACGUGAGGCAGCAGACUGAUCCUUCACUGCGGGGAGGUCUAUUUAUAGCUCUUUGCACAGUAAUUAGGAUAUGAAGUGCAGUGUUAGCAUGGCCUCGUUCUGCCUUCUGUUCAUUAGUGUGAACAUAUUUAGCCUUAGUGAUUAAGAUGAUGAAUAUUUACAUUUCUACACAUUCUAUCAGCUGCAUUAAUAACAACAGAAGGUACAAUGUAAACACUCAGUCCCCCUUGUAUAGACUGUAUUUAUUUAUGUUCACAAGUAUGUGUGUGUGAACACCCAGUCUGUUCAUAACCACAGACGGUCCUUGAUAAAAAAAAAAAAGGAGGUCUAAAUCUGCCAGAGGCCAAACACUGAGACGAUAGAUGUUGCAGAGGGAGGAAACUGGCUCUGGCCUCUUAAAUGAUGGCUGUUUUUCUCAUUUAUGAGCAAGGUGACCUCGCCCGAUCAUGAAAUCCUGCAGGACCUGAUCACCACCGCCAUCUAGAUCACUCUGCCUGGUCAGUAUGGGGCUGUUGAGAACUGGCAUAUUGAUCCAGAAUAAAGCUUUUCCAAUUAAGCUUGAAACCUAGGCCAAGGAUGACAGAGUAUCAAGCAAAUCUCUAAAUUGCGGCAUCUUGCUUUCAAGGUAAGGAUGACUAGAAUAGAAAAAGCUAGUGUUUCUUUAUGUUAAACUACAAAGUGGCUUUUGCUUUGAUUAAGACAUGGCUUCAGGUAAAGGAUAUUCAUAAGUCAAAGCAGAGCUUAAUCAAGAAGUACAUUUUUAAAGGGAUAUUCCGGCGUAAUAUUAAUUUAGGGUCAAACACACCGUAACACUGAGUUAGACGCCCCCUCGAGAGAUGAAUGUUGCUGACAGCUUGCUUCUCUACUUGUAUCAAUUAGUACAGACCGCAUGAUAGCAAUACGCAGCUGUCGGCAACGUUCAUCUCUCGAUGGGGUGUCUAACUUGGUGUUACGACGUGUGACCCUAACUUAAUUUCACACGGAAUACCCCUUUAAGUGUUAAGACAAGCAGACAAGUUUAUCUAUUGCCUCAUUCUCAUUUGGGCCUGUUUGCCAAGCAACUUGGUAUUAUUUAUUAUGUGCUUGAAUGUGGAUGAAUUUAUCAAAUAGUUUAAUGAUUAAGAUACAAAUAAUGAGGGUACACACAAUAGGGGAGCAGUGGAGCUCAAUGCCCUAUUAGCAGGCCAGUAAGAUUAAAAUGUCCUAAGAUUAAACAACACCUUGUUGACCCUCAAAAAUGAUCACCUCCUGGAAUCAAAGUGACUCUUUCACUCAGAGAGACUGUCAGGUAGAAUACUCUUAUUGAUUCAGUAUGAACUCCUUUGUUUGUCAUUCAUAGAACUAUCCUACUUGUUCUCCUUUUGUUAAUGAGCAGAUGUAUUGAUGGUGAGGGAAAAAGAAAACAUUAGCAAGUGAAGGACAGACAUCUUUUCUUCACGGUAACUGCAGAGAAAGAACACCCAGGUGUGACAGGUGUGACGCCGCACUCACGUGUGUCACUUUUUCUAUGAAUGGGGAAGGUAUGUAGGACACAGGAGGGAGGGAUUGAGGGCUUGUGCGAACAGAGAGGACAAGGCAUUGAAUGUUCUUCUCUAUAAACACAAGUACACUUCCUUCAGCUUCAAUUGUCAUUGCUUAAACUGUACACAGACAAACACUCGCAGAUGUUCAAAUUAGAAGGUAAUGACUUUCCCCCGCUCCUUUUUCCUGUGCUGUCUGAUGUUUUCAUUUGAAGGGUUAUCCUGGUAAAUACAAAGAUGCGUUUACCUGUAAUUUCUCAUAUUUCUAAAAUAGACCACAGUCAGUGUUUUAAAUUCUACCCUAAAUUCAUAUCCUGAGUUUCAGUCCAGUUGCUAUUUCAAGCUGAAGGAUACAUAACACUAAAAGAUGAAUGUUGCUGGAUUUCUGGAUGGUUGCUAUAGAAGGUGUUGACCAGUACAUCCAUUUUCCACACUGACCUACAUCUCGGAUUACUCCUCUGACACCCAUCAUCCUGAUAGAAAAAUGGCGGGCAAAAAAUAUGUGUCACUGUCAUUAUUUAUCCUCCUAAAUCCCCCUGUGUGGCUGUAAUGGCAGACACCUGGUAACAUACUUACUCUUCGUCAUCGACCUAUAACGGGAGACAGUGAACGUCAAAAGUGUCACGAGAAAGGACCAGACACCAACACUGCAUCUUUUGGUUCAGGCAAAAGUAAAGGGAGUUGGAAAAGGCUUCCUGAUGAAGUCAGUUAUAUCAUCUGUAAAUACUGCUGCAUGUAAGUCAGAAAGUUACGCUUGAUCUGUUUGUGACACAGCAUGGGCCACUACAAGGUUUGGUGUAUGUUUUUGAGGGUUUACUUUUCGCGAGAAUUACUCGGUUUUGUUUCGAUUUUCUUUGUUUUGGUGAGAUAAAUAACGAGCUGUGAUUCAAGGGUGGGGUAGGCAGGAUUUCGUUAGAGAAGCAUCUUUUUUUGUGGUGUGUAUACAAAAAAGCUUUUAACAUCAGUCAGUAGAUAUUAGUCAUUAAUGAUAUUUGGGAAUAUAACGAUAUCGCUGUGUUCUGACUGUAAACAAAGCUGUUCGCUGUCUCCCUCAACCUGAUUGGUUGUGAGGCGUACACUGCUCCUUAGUGCUGAUUGGUUGUGAGGCACACGCUGCACGCUCCAUGCCCUGGAAUACCGUUCACGAGUCCAAACUAAGUUAGCGUGCUACAAUACCGGACAGUAGAAACCAACCAGAAAGUACGGAAAAUUGUCUGAAUCCUCCUUUGGCCACUACUGCCAACACAAUAAUAGAGACUUGGGCGGAAUAAGGGGCGCUUAAAAAGGAGGUCAACCGGACAAGAGCAAAAAAGCCAGGUCAACAUAAAAUGAUAGGGGACACUUCUGGAUCUUACGGACCCUGUAACCCUUCUGCUGGACAGGUAAACUGCUUUAUCAAAGUAAGCCAAGUGUCUGAAGUGUUUCUUGUCAAACGGGACCUGCUACAUGUUGUAGCGCUGCUAAACUGUUUACCCCGGGUCCUGGAGUAUGUCACUUAUGCUAGUUGUAGAAGUCCUGCAAACAUUGUGUUUGCUGGUAGUCUGUUGGCAUCAACAGUCACACCUAUGCUUUUUACUUUCACGUUGACUGUUGACUAUCUGAAUUUAAUUGGAAUGAUACGAGCGAGCAGGAGCGUCUGUUUGUGGGCGGGGCUUGCUGGAGCAGAGAGGGAGGCGAGAGGAGGAGCUGAGGAGAAAACUGGUCGGGGGUGGGGGGGUAGUGUUUACAUUCAAGAUUUCUCCCAAAAAGUGGCACUGUCUCAGAUCCUGCCUACCCCACCUUUAAGAAAUUUUGCACCUGGAAAAGAAAAAAAAAAACUGUUAAUGCAAAGAAACACUCUGAAAUGUUGCAUAUACAGGGUCUUGAAGUAGUUUUUUUAAAGGUAUAAUCUUCAUGGGUUCAUCACUAUUAAAUAAGGGGGAAAAAAAAAAGAUUUUAUGAGUCAUCCUCCAUUUGCGGAAAUACCACCAUGUGCCGCUGACCCUCUCUACAGAUGUUUCCUCUCUGUUGUUGAUGUUGUUCUCCCUAAGCACCAUGGGUCCCUCCUGCUCAGCUUGUGGCCAGCUAGUAUAAACAGUGUCUCUUUUUAAAGGACACACAGGUGGCUCUGACAAAUGUAUAUUUUAAUGUUUCCCAGAUCUUUAUACCACAACAUGGCCAUCCCUUUCUUACUGGUACAGGAAAUUGCUUUCCCAACACUUGCUGAUGAAACAGCUGUGGCUUCCUGAAACUAAGUACAACUUUUACUGUUUCCUCAUGCAGGAAAUGAUAUUCCAGCACCAGAACUGAGGUGGGCUGUUCACCUAGUAGAGCAUAUGAUCCUACUGCCUUAGAAAGGAUUUUAUUUGGUUAGUUAUAAACAGGACAAUUACGCAUGUAAUACUGGUGAUUCAGGGAAAACUAAAUUAUUUUGAGAUUCACACCGCAUUUUCUUUGCAGCAGGUAAUGAGUAAGGAUUCAGCUGUAGAGAAGUAUUUCUCCACUAAAGGUGAACCUUUCAGGGCAUUAUAUAUAAAGUUAACUCUUCUGUGUUUAUUCCUUUAGAAGACGAUACUGGUGGGCGCUCGAUCGAGUUACCUCAGCUGGAAUCAUACGAACUACAUAUCUCAUUAAAGGGAGGGCCCCACUCAGGUCAAAUCUUUACAUUUCAUUACUUAAAGGGCAACUGAGAGUGUCAUCGAGUUUUCCUCAGCAAGAACUUGACAGGGCUUUGAAUACACUGUACUUUGAAAAUAACUCGCCACGCACAGCUCCCUUUGUCACGUUUUUCUCCACGUUUCCUUACACAUUUAGUCACAUUUGAAUAAAACAUGUUAUUGUGUGUAAUGGCUGAAGUCAGACAGAUCUGUAGACACUUAUCGUGUGAUGCGUGUUCUCCUUGUUGCACAUGUACAGAAUAUGAUGAUGUGUGAAUGUUCCCGUGGAAAGGACAUGUUGCCCUUUUCGUGCCUCACCUCUCUCUCAUUCUUAAAUAUCACGUGCGUGGAGCACACAGAGGGAGGGUGGUCUCGUGACAAACUUGGCUUUGAUUACAGGUAUCUGAAUUCGAACCACAAACCAACACCUGUCUCUGUGAAGGUAAAUAUAACCCAGCUUCAUGUAUUUUAAGGACUAAUGGAUGAUUUUCUCUACAGCACUCGGAGCGUGUGUGUGCACGCCAGGGUACACUAGCUACAUGUUACUAAUAAGGUACUCUGAUUUUUCUCCAGAAUAGAAACGGGGACACAAUAAGUGAAUCCAUCACUGUUCAAACUCUGCAAUUCAUGAGCGGAGAAAGGGCAGCAGCACAUCUAUGUUUGAAAGAUCUUUGUGUUUUACAUCAACGCAUACUUGAGGUUGGGUUUUUACACAUCGAUUUGCGCACUGCUGUUUGAAUUCCUGAAGUAGAGCACACUAUGAUCUGUUUAUUGACUAAAACAUCCUGUUUAUCAUAUUUAUAAAACUGGGUUUUGUUGCAGUUUCAUCUAUGCAAUAAUAAAUGAUUUGUACGGUUAAGGUGGAAGAGUGAUAUUCAGUAGAAAGUGCAUUAGAAAGGGGAUUGUUGUUUCUUUUUGGGAACAUGACACACCUACAUUUUGGUCUGUGCUCUUUCCUCUAAUAACAACUUUAGCAUGUACCAUCACAGGGUAAUACACCUGUUCUUAUUUUUUUUUAUCUCUUGCAAAUGUUUGUUAAAACAAGAUUAAACGCUUCUUGUUACAGAGAGUAGACCAAUGGGAUGGUUUUAAUUUUGCUUUUCUGUAUCUUGUUUAUGACAUAGUAUUUGAGUGGGCACAGAUGAAGUUUCUUGGUCAUGUUUUGGCUCCAGCAGAAAGUGAGAACAGCAUUAGAAGCUCAUCAGGAGGUCUCUAUAAGCUGUCUGACACGUGCAUAAAUACAUCCCUUUAGACUGGAGCAUUUCUGGAGACCUCUCAAGGAUAUAGUAUCCUUGUCUCAGUAAAUAAAUCAUAUUUGUUGAUACUGUACAGAAGAUAAUCUCAACUUAAAUUAGGUUAAAAUAAUAGUUUUAAUUAAAAAAAUACAUAUUUUUUUGCUGACCGUUUUUGUGAGAUAAAAGAUGAGACAAAAGAGGAUACAGAGGAUUUCAGUCAUUUCUGCUGCUUAUAAAAACUGUCAGUCUGUGUCUGGAUGUGUGAUGUUUAUUUCUGUGCAAAAUAACAGCUUCAGCUUGAGGCAGCAGGAGCUAAAAGUGAUGAAAACUUUAUGGAUUGUGCCUCCAUUCGUCUGAUAGUUUAUGCUGUGUGCGACAGCAGAUAGAAACCAGACGCUCAAACAGGCUGCAGUUCUCUUAUUAUUUCUCUCUUUUUUUCAGAAUUGGGAACAUUUUAUGUAAUGUUGAGCAUGUUUUAAAAAAUGAGGAGACAGACUUCAAUAAACUUUAACCUUAUUUGUUUUUUUUUUUUAAGAGUGAAUAUUUAUUUUAAAUGAAGUUAAAGCAGCAUGUUGAAUACACCCCUAUUCCUUCAACCCAACACUGGAAUUAUUUGAUGUUACCUGAAGCAGUGCCACUGCUUUUGGGAUGUAAAAGAAUCUAUACAUACCUUUCAGAUGAAGAACUCCAGUUUACUUGGAGAACCAAGCCUUCCCAGUGGCUGCUUGGUAGGGUAAAAGAAAAUAAAGUGGGUAGUCAGUAUUGGCCUUAACUAUUGUAUAGUUAAACAUCUGUUCUGUCGACAUUUAUUCUUCAGAAACACUUGGUGCCUCCACGUCGAAAAGUAAGUUGUCUAUCACUAGUGUUAGCCCAGGAGAGGACAGUCAAGUGUUCUUAGUUGGAAACAAAGUUAGAUCAGAGUUGCUGAGUUGUGGUGGCACAGACAGUUAAAUGCAUGUUUUAUUCAUGAUUUAUCACAGGACCAGCAUGUUAUAUAAAGUGUAAAUUACUGUGUAAGAAAUAAUUAUAGUCUAUGUAGCAUGGGCACAAAUCCUGUGUGUGUGUGUGUGUGUGUGCAUGCAUUCAUAUACAGUGUUUACAUAACCAUCAUUUGACAGAACAUGGCCUCAGGACACAUUGCAACAACCCUGAUGAAGACAAAGUGAAACUAACCAGCUCUCUGUGCUGCCCUCCAUGCUCUCCCUGUGGACAUUUAUGACAGUUCAUAUCAGACAGAGAAGCUCAGACAGACGGAGACAAAUCUAAAACCCAAGCUGAUGAAACUGAAAGUUAAGACUGGCCUGUUUGGACCUGUCUUCACAGGGGUCUUGUUUGCAGGGUACCCUUAACUUUGCACACUUUUCCCUCAUAAAAAAAGAGAAACAUUUGGAAAUAUAAAAAAUGCAUUGAAGCAUCUAUACAUGCAGGUUUCAUAGAUUUUUGAGGCAAACCAAAACAGGAACAUUCCCCAAACAUCACAGGACUUUGACCAAAGACACUUGGGUUUCAGUCAAAUUUGAAACAAAAUACAUUUUUAGUUGUUUUAUCAACCCAAACUAUGAUGUGUUCCCAAAAGACUGGCACCAUUUCAAUCUUGCUGUUUGUACAGCGUAUGUUGAUACUAAGUCUGAGAUAUUGACAUGUUUAUAGCAGAGAGCUUUCACUCAUCGUCACAGUAAGAUCUGAGGGUGAGAUCAUGUGUAAUGUUGCAGUGCGGAGUUUGAAAAUCAAUCAAACAAUAGUGAGACCUUGACAGUUCACGAGCCAUUCAAUACUAACAUUUCUUGUUUGGCUCUAAGAUCUAGACUUUGUUCAUUAACAAGGUAGUGAAUCUAAUUUACACCAUGACAAAAACAUACCCCUUAAUCUUUGUGUUUUGCUGAACUUUGAACAGUGUGAGAACUGGCAAGCCAUAGGACUUCCUGCAGUGUCUCAGCUAUUUUUUCCACUCUGUUUCCACUGUUUAUCCCCUGAUUUAAUUUCAUACAGCUGUGUGUUUGGAUUUAGGGCCACCACACAGCUGAACUCAGAGCAGAGAGGUGACCACACUCAUAAUAGCCGGACACACUUGAACACCAUCAGGGGACUUGUGUGUGUGGUUAAAGUACUCACCAGAUGUUUUUAUAGGAGAUCAUGUCCCGAGCUUAAUUUAUCCUCAAAGAGGAUAGGGUUUUGACCUUUCUCCUUCUGUACUCAAACUUAAACAAAGCUUUGCUGCAUCCCAGAAAACCAUUUAUGUAACAUCAGGUAAUUGCAUUGUUUCUCAUGUGUCAUACCGAAAUAAAACAAGGCCUGUAAGCAGUUUUUGCCAUUAGAUGAAACCUUUGCUACAUCAGAUACUCUUAGUGUUUUAUCUACACUGAUCAGAUAGUUGAUAAAUCUUGAGACAUAUUUUCAUCCUUAUAUCAUAUAUACCUGCCUUGAGUUUGUUUUCAUCAGGCUUUUAUACCAAUGUAAGAUAUAUAAAUACAGCAUAUAAGGUAGAAAAAACUUCUCAUUUCUUUAUCUGACUCUUCAACUGUGUAUUCCAUCAACAUCAAACCUAGAUCAUUGAAACUGUAUUUGUUCCACCAUUUGGUAUCUUGUUCUGUUUGUGCUACGGACCAAGUGUGAAAUGAAUGGAUUUCCACUGAUUGCAUCAGAGACAGCCAGCAUAUGUGUGGGUCAAUUUGUAUGUGUGGUGUGUUGUGUGAACAGCAGGUACGGCUCCGAUAGCUUUUCAAGGUCUAGUGGAGUGACAACAGUGAAACAUUAUAAGACAGUCAGACGUGGAUGCUUAAGAUUUAUAUACCUUAGGGGAUGUGAAAAUAUCUGUACUGCUUUAUUCAACACCUCAUUGUCUACUUGUGUUCAGUCAAUAAAGGAUCCAGUGUACUCCAGUGGUUUGCUUUGAACAAACAGAAAAUCUUAAUUGUCAGCUCUGGCACUGAUUGUCCAGAGGGUUUUCGAAUGAGGAAAUUAAACACGGGAUACAAAUACUGAGGAAAUGUAAAUCUAUUUUAUUUACAAGGAGCGUGUAUAAUGAGUAAUUCAGGGCAGCGUUGUUGGGUUAUUUUAUUGGCUACAUUAUUUACACUUCAAAAACUUUAACCUAUGCCAGUGAUUUUUUUCUAUUUCACUUCUGUUAGAAAUAUCUCAUUAGACUUUAAAUCAACCACAUUUAGAUGGUAGGCACAAGAUGGUAGACAGCAGGUGCAAGAAACGGUCUUCUGUAAUUUUUUGUGGCAUACUCUCCAGUAAGGAACAUUUUACAGUUAGAAGACAACAGGGUGAGGUUUUUGUAUGAAAACAUGAUCUUCGUGUGUACAGGACAAGAGAUGAGACGCAUCACUUUGUCCACAAGGGGCGCCAGAAUCAACACAAACCAAAAGUUCAUCACAGAAGCUUUAGUGAGAAUAAAAUAAUCUGUAAAUUGGGUGGGCAAAAUGUACUUGUAAAAUUUUUAGGAAUCUUUUUUAUAAUGAUAACAAGUAAACUUUGUUUACUCCACUGACAGAUUUUCUUACCCAUUUUAGGCGAUGCAGGUGUUAACUAUAGGGAAAGAGCUUGCAAUGCAAAUCCGCCCUAAUCAUGCCCCCCAAUCACACAAUUCACUGUCAAUAAAGGAUUUACCUGGAGUGAAUGGAGCUAUAGAGACCAAAACUGUAUUUCAGUUCAAAACUAUAAUACAUUUUUUUCUGCAGUAGUAAUAAGCAGUGCAACUAUGGUGGAGUCUCUAUGACUUUUGAAGUCAGCCCCAAGUGGCGAGUCAAGGAACUGCAUUUUUUGCACUUCUGCAAUGACUAAUUGACACUGUUUAUAAAGUGAAAUACAUGAAAAGUGAGUAAAAUAACAAGAAUCUAAGAAAAAGCUAUGCCCAGAAUCCAGGAUAUUUGAACAGAAAAAAACAGACCUUACGAACAAAAUUCAAAAUAGCUGGAAGCCAAGCCCAUCAAUGAUAAGCGUGGCUUUAGUUACUUUGGGGGAUUUAUGUCACAAAAAAAACGAGUUUUAAAUAUGGCUCCACCAUUUAGUUGAAUUGUACCCAAUUCAACUAAAUGGUGAAUUGGGUACACCAUUGGGUAAUGUCCUUAUAAUCAACAAGAGCGCUGGGUUGAUGGGAUAAACAGUGCUACAACAUGCAAGGAUAAACUUCAAACAUAACUGUUUUAAUGGUUCAGGGUGAACAGUUUCUGAGGAUGUAUACUACAUAAUUGCUGAGGGUGAAGGUCAGGCAGUAGAGAGAACAUAUCAGUAGCGACGUGUCUUGUCCUCAACAUAAAGCUUGAGCUACAACAAAACCUUUCACUGUCUGCUUCUACUUUCUUUUAGUUCUUCAUCACUUGUUGUGAUAACCCUUACAAUUUAUUCUCCAUGUAUUUUUAGCUGCAGGCUAGACGGUUAUGUUGUGCAGAGAGAAAAGUGCCUGUCUGCUUGGUGUGUGUAUUUUGUUCACUUAGUUUCUGUGUGUUACCUAAGUCUGUCUCCAGCUUCAACAUAAGCAGUGCGAAAAAGAGGUGAAAUGCCCCCCACCACCCUUUUUUUUGUGUGAAAGCCACUGAUUUUUUAAUCUUCUCGAGUUGAUGUUUUGGCUAUCUCAUGAAUGUCUUUUAAUCAAGUAAGCUUACUAUUCUGGCUGCAAAUGGAUUCCUGUUAAUAAAAUAUAUGAACAUAGAGGGGGUAGAACUUGUGUGGGCAGAGGUAAACAAAACUUUGAGGAGACAGCAGACUGUUCUGCACCAUUACUGACUUGGAAUACUUUCAGAGCUUCACUUGCUGACUCGUGUUGUGCAAAUAGGGCAAAACUGAAUAUAUGCAGUGCAUUGAUUUUCUAAUUAAAUGCACAAGUCACUAAUAUAUUGGGAGAUUUGAUAAUUUUGUAACCUAGUCUGGUUUCAUUUUUAGAACCAAAUGCAUAAAGUUACCUGGGGGAUACAUUAAUUGCUGUAGAGUUUGUUAUUUCGGCCCAGUCUUCACCUUCAACAGAGAUCCCUGCCUACUGUGGAGACCAUGGGUUUUGUUAUCAUGCAAUUUAAAAAAAAUAUAUAAGAGCCAAUCACUUGUUUACAAAACACACUAUAAUGCAGCUUUACUUGUUUUCUUAUUUGACCCAACAAUACUCAAGAUAGUCAACUUUGGGUGGUGAAUGAUGCAGGCUGCAGCUGAGCCUGGUAUGUUCUAACUCCCAAACAUCAAGAUGUAUUUUUUCUUGAUAAGCCUCGCUGCAGUCAGCAUGUAGUUUUUCCUUUCCUGGGCAUUAGAUUGCAGUUUGCACACCUGCAUCAAUCAGGUAACUUGGAAUCUCCAUUUGGUCCAUUGAAUCAUGCAGUAAAAUUCCAGUUCAGGCAGAUGUCCACAUUAAAUGGCAUGUCAUCAGCACUGUUGGGUUCACUCAUUACUUAGUUCAGUCAUGUGUUUGUCUCUUUAAAGCUCACAGACCCAAACAGCCAAUAGGCCUGCUGCAGGUGGAAAAGCAUGUGUAUCACGUCCACAAGCAGAACUCGGCUGGUUUCUUGACAAAGGAGCCAAGCCGAACUGCAUCCCUUAUGGUUUAUACCCUACUAUCGACAGGUUUCUUAUACAACCCCACAUAAAAAAGGAACUAUCACUUUAGGUGUGUUAAUACUGUCAUAGUUGUGUUUCAGUAUUUUAAUUGGGCGCUCACACCAAGUGCGAGUAAAAUCAUUUACUCGCUUAAUUCGCACGAAUCUAGAAACGAGAAUGAAUUGUAUUUACUUGCUUCAUUCACAUGUCAACUGGGAAUUUCAAUGGUAAUCCCUGCCAAUUCAACCAGCAGGAUCAAGUGAUAGAGUUUUUUUUACAAUAUACCAGGUAAUCCAACCUCCUCACUCCAGACGAGCUCCUUUUUAUUCUGGUUUCGUAUAAUUCGGAGCACCCACACACUGACAUGCUCAGUUUGUCCUCCAUUUUAGAUACCAGUGAACAAUCAUACGUUUUCAUGCAUCACCCGGCAACCUUUGUGCUGAUUAGUUAUAGCGAUGCGAAUAUCCGCCCAUGUUGAGACAUAUUCAGCUUCCGCCCAAUUCGCGUCAUUCGCGCUACCAUAGUAGUAGGAGCUUCAAAUCGCGUCUCUUCCUUGACUUAACAUGUAAUUCAUUCGCGCCAAUGGUCUUACUCGUGCUUGGUGUGUGGAGACAGUAAGACUCCAAAAAUAGCAAGACACUGGCUGGAUAUCCUCACUUUUCUCUUUAAACUUGGUUAAAUAUCACUGGGUUAAUGGAGCUUUUGCUGUUAGAUAAUUUCCUCGUUUUGUACCCAUGAUCAAGUUGAAAUCAAUCAAAAUCUAAAUUACAUGUUAUGACUUAAGGUCAGAUGUGGUCUUAGCCUCAGUGUGCAAAUUAAAGCCACAUUCUGGUAAAAAAAAAAUGACAACUCAAUUAUUGAAAGGUCUUUCCCUCCAAAGAGACAUCCCCUGUUGUUAUGCAAGUCUCAUUAUUUGGCUCAUCUUCACCUGAAAGUGGCACCGGUUCUGUGCAGAGCCUGAGGAUAAAAAGUGAAGCACCAUUAAAUCCCCCCUCAGACAAUUACUGCAAGGGGCCUUCUUUAAAAGCUCAGUGGAAGAAGCCAGCUGUGUUGUUUUGACCUGCCGUUAUGUAAGCCUUGGUAACAAAUGUUAGAACUGUAUUGACACUGGCAGUGAGGACAGUUAAUGCCUUGUUUUGCUGAUUUUUCCAUCAGACAUGGUCUCCUAUAAUCCAAGACACAUUUUCAGAGGUGGGCUAGCUCAUACUGCAGAAAAAUAGGGGUGGCAUAUCAUCUCAUCAAGGAAAUGUGUCGGUAUCUAAGAUGAUUAAAGAUUCAAGCUUUUUAAUGUCAGUUUCUGCCGUAUUGUGAGUACAUACACAGGAACUGAGAAAGAUGUUUCUCUCCAGCCCAUGGGGCAAAAAUACACCGAAUAUAUUAAGAAUACAGAAAAAUAAAAAAAGAGAAAGGGUAAUACAGAAGGAGAGUGGUAUAAAUACUCCCCUGUUACAAUGUUAACUUUCUAAAAGUAUCUGUUGCCAAUAAUCAAAGAUACAAGCAUGCUUGUAUAACCAGGCAGAGACAUGUUUCAGUCAGCAGCACAAACAGAGGACUGAGACACCCUCUGACCAAUCGGAUCCGGUCUGGAAAACCAUUGUGUCAAUUCCUGUUUUUUUCUCUUGCUAAGAAAACAGCUCAGUCAAGUUUUUACGAGAAACUGACUUAUCAUUCAGCUGAUGCUGUGGCUCAUUUAGAAACAUAAAUUAAAUGCUGAGACAACCUUGAGUGCAGUGAAAUGCCCAGACUUGUCAGAUGUCACAACAUGGGCAACAUUCUUAUUUCCAAAAAGCAGCAAACCAUAUUUGGAAAAUGUUAAUCUCACUGCAGUAUGGUCAAUAACAAAUAUCCAUGUAUAAAUUUUCAAUUAAAUAACAUCAGAUCAUGAGUUUACAGUUUUAACCGUGUGUUUUUGAAUGUUGUCAUUUAGAUUUUCUUCUCUUGUUAGAUUUUGACAUACACUUUAAAGUCUAUUACUAAUCCUGUAAAAAUAGACCCAGUCUCCUUCCUGAAGAUUUAUAAAUGUUCAAAGUUGUUAAAAAAGGGAACAAGAAGUCAAGCAGAGGUUACAGUGAGGGCAAAUGGGUGGAGCUUUGAUUGAAGGGAACCCGAGGUUGUGAGAACAAGCAGUAAGUGGAUCAAAGGUUACAGAGAGCCCACUGUACCAUGCUCUAAAGCUCAAAACUGACCUGAGUGCCCUUUGUUAUUUUCUGGUUAGUGGGACCUUUUCUCAUUUAGAUUUAGAUUAAACAAAAUAACUGUGGUGUGUUGAAAUACUGUCCCAGUGGCACUGCUGUAAAGCCAUGUAUAGACAUGUUGUUUCAAAGCAGACAUUACUCAUUACUUUCACAUGAAAAUCCUCGCGUGUCUUUUAGAAAGCUAACUGGAAUUCCUGUACAUAUCAUCAGCAUCAGCAUUUGACUGUGACUCAUGCAUGUUCAGGGAAAUGAGAAUUUGGCAUCAAUGUUUAUGCAAUCAAACACCUUCCCGGAUUUUCUUCUCCAGAACUGCUGUAAUAAAUGUUGUCAGGGAAGAUGAUGCAUUGUCUGCUAUGCUGUCCUUAGAAGGAAACAUGCAGCACCCAUGGAGUUAGCCGGCACAGAAUUGAGAGGUCAUAAUAACCCCAAAGAUUUGCUUACAGCAGCAGAAAAUUCUGAUAGCUUGGACUAUAAGAGCUUGGACUUUUUUAAAAUGUUUUUAGCUCAUACUAAUGGAUUAACUGGUUGACAAGCAUAGGCAAGUCCAGCUUCAGUGAAUCAUGAGCAGCGUGGUGUGACAUGUGUCUCUAAGUCACAAGUUACUGUAACUCUACACUGUUUGUAGUAACUGAUGGCGUAACUUUCAAUUUAUUACUUUCUGUAAAGGAGAAGAGGGGUGAGUUGUCUUCAAAGCGCUGGAGGGAAAGCUUUGUCUACAGCCAGUUGUGAUUUCACAAAGCACCUGACCAAACGAGUUGCCAGAGGCUCGCACUCUGGCAACUCACUGGUGAUACACGUGAAGCUCGAACCAUGGUUUGGUUUUAAAAUAAGCCAGCCCACUCUCUGUGACUCUGGAAGGACUAAACAGGCUGAUGACAAUGUGCUUCACAUAUCAGCUGAUGAGCCUAAUGCUUUGAGAGAACUAUUUCCCAAACUAUAGGUGUAAAUCUUAAGUUACACAGUUUUAAAAAAUCUUGUAUGCAUUGUGAGGCAGCUAAGUACGGCUAGUGAUCUCCUGUCACAAAAUGAAAACUUUCGGCAAUCUAGGAGUCCAUUUAUUUGUUGUUUUUUGUUUUGGCUGUUAUGCCUGAAGCCACACAAGAGUAAUAUCAGCCCCAGCAGCACUCUCACCUCAUUAAUUUCAAACCUAAACCUUUAGUUUCCCAACACCUGUUUGCAGCUAAUCGCCCAUUUAACACACUAAAUAAGAUUUAGUACCAACCAAAUUUUUUGCAAUUACUCUUUCAUUACUUAAAUGAAGUACACACAUUUUUACACUAUAAGAAUAUAUACAUUGUUGUGGGAUACUUAUCAUUCAGUCAAUUUAAAUGAUGUCUAAAAAAAUCCAUUAAAAUGCCUGAGGCUGACAUGCUGGCAUUUCGAGUGAGAACAUGUCACUGUAAUAUUUGCAUUAUCGCACUUUAUGCCCGAGAGCCAUUUAUGUGCCCUUGAGACUCUUAGUUUCUGAAUGUGCAGGAAUGUCAAUUUGUGAAAUAUUUAUUGACUUUAUGGGGAUCAGGAAAGUUAAAGGAAUUCAUAUUCACUUUAUGAUACUGGCAACAAAAGGUAAUUUACAUUAAAGGCCACAUUUUUGCUGCAUAGUUUUCUUAGGAAGUAGAUAGUAUAAGAUAAACUCCCCCCCAACCACAAUCUGCUUGCUCUCCAGGCGUCACUUGACGUCAGCAUCAGUUACAGUCCAUAUGCUUGUGAAAUCACAGCCUCUCAAAUCUCACAUUUCCAAACAUCAGAAGACAUCCAAGCAAAACUAGAUGGUAAAAUUAAUCCAAAGUGAGGGUUUACUCAGGUUCAAAUUAGGUCUCAGUCGUCUGGAGCUUGCCUACUUACACCUCAUAAGGUUUAUUCCUGGAGUUGCGGUUAAGUCCAAGUGAAGUCAGUACCCUUGUGAUUAUCCUGCGGGUAAAAAUACCAUAUGGGAACUCCAUGCACGCCACCUAAAGACAUGCCACCCACCCUCACGAUCAGGCAUUUUUCUUAAGAAUAAGUUAGGAUUGUUGUUCAAUUGAUGCUUUCUGAAGGUUUCACCCCUGAUGACAGCAGCAGAAAGAUAUUUGUGUGGCACAGACAUGAUGUAAUAUGCCAGCUGCAGAGAGAGGUGAGGGGAGGACUGGACUGUAGCCAGUUUCAUUUUAACAUAAAAAAUAGAUGAAGACUGUGAGGAAGAAUCAUGUCUCUACCAGAAAAAACACCUGCUGCUGAGGUGACCUUGUACUUUAUGCGAGUAUGUUUGGGAAUGUGAAAUCAAAAAGUAAUCCAGAGUCAGAAUUAUAUUUUAUAAAGCUAUGGGGAUUAAAAUUAGCCUAUCAAGGGGCCAGACAGAAGUCACUUUUUUCAUCAGUCAGCCGUACUCUGAGUCCAGUACUAAACAUUUUGAAACUUCAAUGGCCCUUUGUGUUGAAUUUAAUCAAAAAGAGCCAUCCUUUACUGUUCACUUUUAAACAAAGCUCUAGAGUUCAUGACCAGAUUGUUGUCUCCAGAGGCUGCGUUGAUUUAAACACCUCUGGAGGACUUUUUCCGGACCCCAAGAGGACACAAGCCAGAGCUGAGGAAUAGAUAGGAGUCAGGACCCUCUGCUUUCUUUCUUCUUGCUCGUUGCUGCAUCCGGAGAGCAGGCGGCGGCUGGAAAUAGCCCAGACAUGCAGGCCAAGUCCGAGUAGAGCGCCACUGGUGUUGUCUCCUGUUAGACUUCCUUGGUUGGCCACUAAUCAGCAGAGACAGAUGAGGAUGCAGGACAGGAGCCAGACCAGAUCAGUUUCUACUGGGCAGGGCAUGGAACACAGGGAGGAGUGUGCGUGUGUGGAAGUAUGUAGGUGUAAUUCUGGGUGUGUGCAUGAUUGACACUUUGAAAAUAUACAUGAGUAACUUGUGUGAGUAAGUUGAGUAACUUGUAUGAUCAUGUAGACGGGUGACAGGAAAGUGGGACAGUGUCAUCUGUCACACACCUUCGCCCACCACAGUGUAAAGGAGCACAUUUGCACAAGUAACUGGCCUUAAAAUUAGUUUUUAGUUUUAGACUUUUUUUAGACUUUCACUUCACUAAAGUCACUCUGCUUUGACAACCUGUUAUGUCACGAUUACCCUUUUAACACGACUGUAAACCCUAACCCCUGACCCCAACCUGAGACUCAUACCACCCACUUCUGCUAGUCACUUAAAUUGAGGAGUCUUUCUAAUCAACACAGAACUUCAUAAUAUGACAGAGUAUUUAGGCCACAUUAAGACAAAGUAUUAUCAAAAAUUUAGAUUUAUUUUAUUGAAAGUCAACAACUUGUCUCAGACUCAGACAGUGACAAACUGAAAAGUCAACCAGGUGUGGCUCUGAUUCAUGCCAGUCUUGUUAACCUUGAUGUACUCGACUACAAUUAUUUUCUCAUGACAAUAAAAUUCUAAGGAAAUCAAGCCGUUAUGUAACGCGUAGAAGUCAUAUAACUACAUAAAUAAUGAUUAUAAUGAUUAAGAAUUAAGUAAUGUAAAGUCAUAGUUUUAGGUUGAUGUUGAGCAGUCAGCUGUCUGUACCAAAAUGUGAUCUGAAUUAUACUAAGGGUUUUAGCACCUGAGCACCACAUUAUUUUAAGUAUCAGGACUAUGAUUUCAUAACAACUUUAUCCUCAAGAAUAAAUGAUGUUCUCAUGACCAUAUCUUCAAAUUUAAAAAAGUAAAUCUAUGAAUUUCUUUAUGUUUAAUGUGGCCCCAAUACUCAAGUCAUAGAAAAAUUAUUUACUUGAUAGUGUAUUACUAUUCUCUCCAAAUGGAUGAUUUUAGUAUAACAAGGGCAUAAAGGUAUUAAAAAGUCAGACCGCCUCAAGCUGGGCAGCCCCCAGCUAAUUUGGUGCUGUCCCGCCACAGCCUGAGUAAAAUACCAUGACACAGUAAAACACCUCCCUCUGCUUUAAUGCUGAUAUGUUGGUGGCACUGUUGUAAAGGAUGGAGCCACUUUUUGAUGACCAAAUAUGGUUUUAAUAGAGCAUCUUAUACACUGAAUUUUAUUGGGGGGGUUUCUUGGUUAAAAUGGAAACUACACUCACAGUUUUGUCAAAGUAACAGUGAGCUCUGCAGGUGUCAUAAAAUGAUCAGUGUUAAAACUCACGUUUGACUGAAUAUAGACCGCAAGACUGCAUGAAUCAUAGCCACACCUCAUUGAGUUUGUCUGUCAGACUGUGGAGCAAGUUCUUUUCUAUUUAUGAAAUCCCAGUGUUCUUUCAAUGUUCCCUCCAACUUCAAUCCUGACAGUAAUGUAAUAUCAUCAUAGCUAUUGUGGCUGAACACUGUUGAAUGGAUUCAAUUAACAACCCAAAAGCAUUUCUGAAACCUGUUCUCUUGCACUGAUACUGAUUACUUGGAUAACAUGUACCAAUUAGACUUGAUUGCUGGUUUCUCCACCCUUGUGUACACAACAAACCCCGCCCUUAGCCAAUAAGACUCAUUAGGUAAGAGAAUUAAAAGGUCAGGGAGUGAGACGUAUUUCACACUCGUUCUUCUCCUAUAUUUAAUUCACUUUGCCUUUUUAAAUCUGCCUUUGUUGCCUACAUUAAUUGAAAACUUUCAUCACACCAUCUUCUCACAGCCAAUUAGAGUAGUGGAGCUGACAGUCGGUGCAUGUUGUGCGAGUUUAUUUAUGUGAUCUCCUUCCUCUGACUCAGACAGAAAUCUGAAGUUACUGAACACAUCUCAAGCCUUAAAGUAAAACUAUUUUUAGACACUCCCUGUGACUAGAUGGCAGUGCUGUUGCACUUAUGUUUUAACUAGUAGCUUCGCCUCCAGAUAAAUCCUUGCAGCUGUAUCGAGUUCCCAUACUCUGACAUUUCCUGAGGACAUCACACUAUAUUUGUCUUAGUUCUCUGGUUGCUGAUUUCAGAGAUUUCUGCUUGUUAAGGAUUUUGUGGCAGGUAGACUGUGAAAUAAGGGAAACUUUUGACUUUUUAUGGACUGCUCUCCUGAACACUUUUUAUUUAACUUUUAAUUUUAGAUUACAAUACUGCAUUCAACUGAAAAAAAAUUCACUGCAAACACUACGGUAUAGUAAUGCAUUUGCAAUCAGAUACAGUUUUUUAUCAUUAAGCACAGAAGUCCUCCAAGAAGACCCUAAUAAGAUCAUUUUUGUGCAGUUUUCUAUUAAAUAAAUAAAUUAAAACUAUUAAAUACUAUCUCCAUUCUGCCUCACAGAAACCUCGAAGGUUCCCUGUGAACUUUCCGACCUCUAGUUAUGCUAUUGAGCGUUUUUUUUUUUUUAGAGUGUGUUCCUGUUUGUCUCACUGCCUACAUUGUUUUCCUACAAUGGCAUGUUUUACAGACAAGACAGAGGUUUAUUUUUCUACCUCUUAUGAGACGCUCAAGUUAAGUCAGUUCAUAUAUAGAGCAACAAACACUGAGUGACCAAAGUGUUUCAAAGAAACAAACACAGAUCCAGUUGACAUCUAUAAACACUGAAUAACGUUGAGGAAUUUACUGUAUCUGAAGCAGUCUCCUUUAAAGUGUAAUCAUGAGCACAGUAACAGAAACACAAAAUACGAUUAGAAGCCUGUAUGUGAAAGAAAGUCAGUGUGUCCAAAAACAGAACUCUGUUAGUCCACAGUGAUAACAGAAACAGUGAUAGUGCAAAAGCAGUUCAUGUUUGUUGACCCUACAGCGUUAGGGCUUCAUCUCUGUAAGGUCUAAUCUGAUUUUUCAAGUAUUUUGGUCAAACGCUGUUACCUUAUCUCAUGCUUGUCUUGAUAAACACCCUGUCUUCCUCGAAUCACCAUGCAGUGAAUCAGUAACUAUGUUUGUGUUUGUUUAUUUCAUAUCUUAGAAACCCUUUGGUUUAAGCUAAAAGUGAUUGAUUGCGGCAUUUGUUACUUAUUGUAUUUGUGUAUUAGCGGCUGGCCAUUUGUUUGUCUGCAUGUCAGAUAUGAUAACAGAGUUGGUGCAUACUCCACAGUAACACUCUGUAUAUCACUGUGGAUUAGAGUGUCACCCCAGUGGUUCAAAGUAAACAGAGGACAGUGUUCUCUGUUUGGCUGCUUUCCAGGAUCCCCAGAUUUAUUUUUGUGUUUGUGCAAAUAUUUUCUGUUGCGUUCCUUGUCAUAACACCGGUGGGUAAAAGAGAAAAACUGUAAGUGGAAGUUUGCCUGUUCAAUUUCCAAAGACUAUGGCGCCACCUCCGGCUGACGCUGCAGUUCAGAGUGCAUGUGAGGUCAUUUAACACUGUUGGGCAGAGGAAGGUCAACACACAAAUACACACACACACACUCAAACUCACACAAAUUGCAAUCGUGUUUCUUUAACUACGCCGAGGGAAUGCAGCGAGUGUGCGAGGGAUGAUGAAGUAAGACAAAGUGACAAAGAGAGACAGUGGAGGCACAUGACACACCAAGGGGGGGCAUAAAAAAGCACACACACUUACUAAAACGCACAUAGUGGAAACCUCUGUCUCGUUUCCUGUUUACAGCACUGUGAUGGCUAUUUUUGUUCUCUGGCUGCAUGCAGCAAGGCCUUCAACUUAAACAAUAGAGCUAAGUGUUUGGUCAAGACAACUACACACUUAAGAGGCAGAACACACACACACACACAUUUCUUAACUAUAUCCUGUUUGUAAGCAAAAGUGAGUCUAUUAAGAUCGAAUCAAUCAUUACAUUCACUGUCUGGUCAAAUCACUGCUACAAUGACUUUUAUUUAUGAUUUGAUCAGAGUCCAAAAUGAACCAAUUGAUUGUUUUCAUUCACAUGGUGUCAUUUCCCCUUGUGGGACUAAUAAGGAAAUAACAAUCAAUAAUUUCCCUUAAAGAAACCGCCCCACACUUUAUUGAUCCCCAAAGGGAAAUUCAAUAUCAAUUAAUUAUUAAAUAAAUGUAAAUCUACAUUCUGAAAUAAUCAGGAGGUGUGUUUUAUGGCAUUAAUUCGAUUUCUAAACAAGACACCAGUAAGUAUUGUGCACAUUAUCUCAAUUGAAAACGUAUUUAUUUAUGCUGGCUUUUAAUACCCAGUACCCUGGUGACACUUUAUUUUAUUGCAUUGUAUCUUAUUCUUUUUUUAUUGCUUUUCCUGUUUUUAUACUAUUGUUUACCUUUAUUCAUUUUUAAAUACCACGUAUUGUAAAGCACUUUGGUUCACUGAAAGGGUUGUUGUUAAGGGCUGUAUAAAUAAAGAACAUUUACAUUUACAUUAUAGGGACAAAAAUACUGUUCUGAAAUGAAAAGUAAUGGAAAAUGUUGUUGUUUAUUUUGACUUUAUAAAGAAUAACAAUGUUGAUACUUUAAAAAAUGUGCAAAAUGUGCACUUAUUUCAAGAUAUUUUAGAUUACUCACUGAUCAUGAAUGAUCCCGAGUACUUCUCUUCUAUCUUUAAAGUAUUAAAGUCAUAUGUUGCAAGUUGCUAGGUGAUGUACUUUUGCAUGAAGAUGACAACUUGCUAUUUUUAACCUUUGACUUUUGUGCAAAACAACAAGGUGUCACAUAUAAGCAAGUUCAAAUCACUGUUUCCACCUUAAGGAAAGCCACUUGGGUAGUUACCUUUCACAGUUUUUUUCAUAGCUGCACUAUUGCUUAAGCAAGACAUGGAAAUGAUACGGGGCUUCUUUUCCAUUUAUUGGCAAAUAAAAGUCAUAAUAUGUUUUAAAAUACAGUAUCUUAAAACCCUGAAAGAGAUCCAUGCCAGUCAUACAGAUGUAAGCCCUGACUCUGUGGACGUUGUCCUUGAAAGCACAGCUGUUCACCGUAUGUACUUGUCUUCAUUCUUAAGUUUUUCUCUAAGCUGUGUCGCUCCCUAUCAUACUGGUAUGUAGAGUAAAAUAUGACUGCAACUACUGAGCACAUUUUUGAAAGGAAUUUAAAAGCUACUGCGUGGUUGUGCGAGUUAGACUGAAGUUAAUCGCUCUUUCUUUCUGCAAAAUCCAUAGAAAACAGAAGAAAGGAAAACGGGCUCCCUUUAUUUUUGGAGGAGGGUCAAAGGUCACAUGGGAGGUUGAAUAGUGUAGGUCACUGAAUCAAGGAAAACAUUUCAGUGCAGCAGUCUGCUCUGGCCCCACUGCCUUCCGCCAUGACGCCUGUUCAUCUAUCACACUUCCUGUGUGUGUGUGUGUGUGUGUGUGUGUGUGUGUGUGUGUGUGUGUGUGUGUGUGUGUGUGUGUGUGUGUGUGUGUGUGUGUGUGUGUGUGUGUGUGUGUGUGUGUGUGUGUGUGUGUGUGUGUGUGCAUGUUUAACCGUUUUAAUCCAAAUCUUGAUGUCUUUGUGAACACAUUGCUUUGUCUCAGUUCCCUCUUCUGCAUCUGUUUUUAACAUCCCUGUUUGGUUUGGUUAGACAGCCAAAGAAUUCAUACACUACAGACACACAACACACAGACUAACAAACAGACAGGCACACACACAAAAACACAAACCAGUCCGACUGAUAAAUCACAGCUUUCUGAAUUUGUCCCUCUUAACCCCAGAGGCAGCAUGUGCAACAUCUCCAUUGAGCUAAAAGAGAAAAACUUAAGACAAAAAAAAGGGGCAAGAGACCCACCACCCCACCCCUCUGCACACGCACACAUGCAGACACACUGGUUCUUAAAACACAACAUGUAGGCACACAAACAUAACGAUGCAUAGGCUUAAAUACGCAUACGCACUCACUCUUGCAUAUCUGUAAUUCUUUGUAAGGACAAGUGUUUGUGCAGACUACUAUUUCCACUGUUGCUAGAAUGAUGCAAAAAUGAAUCAGUUGUAAGUGUAGUGUGUUGUAAUGUUACUUCAGAAAAAUGAACAUUAGUCUGGGCUCAAAAAGUUCAUUUAAGUAUUUUAUUAGUCAGGAUUUUGCAAAAUAUCCACACGAGCAAGAAUGUCCUCAAAGAAAGGUUAUCCAACAAUGGUUUGGUCCUGGAAAAUACAGUAUACAGAAAAUACAAACACAACACAAAGACACACAUGUACAUGUCUUUAGUACGUUUUGAGGACAAUGUUCUGUAAGUUCUUUGAGAGGACCAGAGUUUUUUUUUUUUUUUUAGAGUAAUGGUAGGUUACCCUAACCUUUCACUGUUGAGGCUGUUACAACCAUAAAGCGUAUUUUUUAACUGUCAAAACUUUGUUAAACAUUAUGCAGUUUGAUUAGUUUUACUCUGCAACACUGUCUAGUUUAAGAAAUCACACACAAACACAGUGUGUAAACACUGUGCUGAAACAACUAUUUGCCUCGGUCACAAAUAAAACAUAAUUGUGGAUUUGAUCGCACCCUACAGAUAAUUUUAAUAUACAAACCAUGAUAUUUGCUGAGCCUGAUCACGUUUUGACCUGACUCGACAGAUUCGAACCAGUUCACGGCUGAAAUCCUUGCAAACUGCCUCAGAAAUAUCAACAAAGUACAUCCCCUCCUACGCGUACAAAACUUUUAAUUAUGGCAACAGACGAAGUUUCAAAUUAGGGACGUUUGGGUCUCGCAGACCAUACAAUUAAGCCUUGUUACCUUUCCUAUUUUUGAGUCAGUUUUCUAUUUACUAAGAUUUUUUUUUUAAGCUGUGGUCCCACCUGCUACCAACCAGGGCUGUAGCCCCAGUCACUGCACUGCGCAGAUGACGGACGGCCACUUAGCAUGGUGCAGUUUGGCAAUAUCAAGUUAUAUACAUUUGUCUGGUUAUAUAUCUGAGUAGACAGACAUAGAACCAUUUAACCAGAGCAAUGCCAGAGGCCACUAGUGCUAUCUCUGCUAUCAUACAUGGACUCCAAGUGUUCUGAAGUAAGACACUCAACCUUCUUUUCUUCACAUCAUGUGAGGGGGUUUUAGUAGAGAAAAAGACCUGUGUCUGUGGUGCCCAGGUCAGUGGUUGUUUGUCACCCCUGUCAAACUGUGGUUCAAAGUGAAAGUGGAGACACAGACAGAAAGAAAAAACACAACAGCAACAAGGGGAUCACCCUUACACCCACACAGUCUUUUUUUAAGCUCCUCCAACCACAACCUCCACCCCUCCUUUUCUGUUCCCACACAACAGCCAAAAAGGCAGAGGCUCAGCAACCGGCUGCUUCAGAUACCCCAAGCUUGGUGUCUUUUUUUAACCUCAUGCUUGAGUGGGUGAUGUGUGUUUCUUAGUGCUGAGCUCUGGCUUUUGAUACACAAAUGAUGUACACCCAUGUUUCCAAUCCAGGGUCAUAGAUAAGAGUGUUUCUGUUAUUCUCUGCAGAACAACAAUGAGGCCAGCCGAAGACCCACACAGCUCAGACACAUGCAAAACAAACAGGCACAUUCUCACACACAUUCUUUGUCUCUGUGUAAACAUGUAUGUGUGUGUGUGCAUGUGGAUAUUUUUUUCUCCCCCACACAUGCGCAAACACAUAAAAACAGAUUAACACACCAAGCAAUGUGCAUGAAAGACUUUAGUUGUCUUUUUUAGCCAGAGGUAGACAAGAUAUAUAAUUUUAAUCAUUCUAAAUAACAACUCCCCUACAGUGCACAAGCAAGGUACAAAGUGGGUUGUUUAGCAUGGCCAGAACACCCACAAACACGUACACACAUGCAGGAAAGACACACUUGCACACAAUCAAACACUCCAUCUUCUUGAAACCUCAUUCCUUGGACCUCAAGUAUUUAUUAAAGCUGGCAUAUGUGACACCGAACCAGCGGCGGCAGAGAGAACCGUCACUCUCCAGGGAGGAAACCCUCACAGCUGAAUUUCAUCCCAGCUCUGUAUUGUUGUUGCUGCCGCAGCUGUUUUUAAUUGUUUUAAUACAUAUUCAACACUUGGGCUUUUCUGACCCACUUUCAAUCUCUGCGGUUUUUCAUUCUAUUCAUCUUUGACACAUUUCCCUGCCUCUCUCUCUCGCUCUCUCUUUAAGGUGAGAUAAAGAAAGAAGGUGGAGACAACAGAAAUAGAGGAAUCUGGCAAGUGAGUCAAACAGUGAACAAUGAUUAAGGACAUCCAUUUAAAUCCUAAUAAAAGACACGCUGUGUGUUGUUGGGUACUGUUUCAGCAAAGUAAAUCUCAUGGGUGUUGACCUGAUAGCUGUAACUCCUUUGAGCCGAACAGCUACAGAUGUUCUUGUGUAAAAGAAUCAUGAGAACAUGGCACUACUGUGAAAGUACCUGCAUGAGUAAUAUCUGAAGACCAAUCUGCUCACCUUAAUUGUUUUGUGCACUUAAGAUAUUUUCAGCUGCUGUUUUGUUUAUUUCUAAUAAAACAGGUCAAUGAAUAUCGGUUUCAACAACACACAACGCAUUUUAAAAAUAAACCAAGGAUGUUUAUUUACAUCUGUGACUCCCAAAGUGCUUAUUGAGUCCAAUGAGACUCUAAAAAAUACUUGUAACUUGUUUGUAAUGUCAAGCCUCUCCUCUCUUAAACAGCAAAAAUGAUAAAACAUAGACUUUUGGCAAAGAUUGAUUAUAUCAGCUCUGGCAGUAGGAGUAGCGUAGCUCUAAAAUUUACCAUUACAAUAAUGAUAAUGGUUAUAAAGGUAAGACUAGUGUUAAUAGUAGUAGCAUUUUGAUUAAGACAGGCCUAUUUCUGCCUUCAGUCAGGCCUUGGCAGCAAUGACCCAAGGGAACCUUCUUAAGAAGAGUGCUAAAAAAAAACUCACAAGUUAUAUGAUCAGUAACUUAAAUGAUGCAUGAAGUAAGUAAGUGAUAUGGAGUAAUAUGACAUUGUCUGGGCUUGUGUGUAUCAUUUGUCCAUGCGGUCUAUGCCUGUAGUAGUGCAAUUAAGAGCUGGGCCAAACCUGAUCUGGCACUGACUAUACGUUUUAUCAAAUAAGAAAAAAGGUUAGAUUACCUUUGAGUGUAGAAAAAGCAUCAUCCACCCAAAGCCUGCUUGGUAGAUAUUCCAAAGGAGUCUGAUAACUGAAGGCCCUCAUUAGGUAUUGCUAAUAUUCCUGUUUUUUUUUUUAGCUUUCUGAGAAAAAAUGGUGCCUGACCAUAAUGAGAUUUAUGGUUGGGAAUAAGGAUUUUUAAAUUCUGUUUGAGUUUUGUAUGUAGCCAGUGUUGCAAAGCUAAUAUUUGGGAGUUGUACUCUUUCAUUUUCUGGUUCUAUUUAGUACACAUACUGCAGAGUUUGGGACCUGGUCAAGAGUUCUUUAGACUGUUAUUUAGGCAGGCUGCUUAAUGGAAAUUAUAAUAAUUCCACCUAGAAGUAAAGUAAGUGCUGACUAGUUCUUCAAAAUGAUUUCAAGAUUCGCUGUUUCACCACCAUGUCUCAAAUUGAUCCCGCCGACUGAAAUUAUUCAUCCACCACUUCUCCAUCCUCAGUCUGCUCAGCUGGUGUUCAUCUUCUUCUGUUAAUAUGCAACUGCAAGCAGAUGGAGCACCAGCACAAGUGUUCAAAAAUAGUACAUCAUAAUUAUCAGUCGCUUAUCAGAUCAAGACUACAUUUUCUGCUCUUGUCUGGCACAUUAAUUUUGCAGCCACAGCAGGGAUCGUGAUCAGUUUCUGAGAGAUCUGGUUAUCGCUCCAAAAACUCGUAUUAUUAAGUUGUGGUGGCGUAUUUCCAUUUCACCAAACGGGCAAACAACUUGAGUUGGAAAACCAAUAACUAAUGCAGUUAAGUUAAAAUUUCAUAACUCAUUAUGAUAAGUGGAAGUAGAUGAUAGAAACAAGUAAUGAUAGAUUGUUAAGCUUAUCACUUUUUACAGUUGAGUAAUCAAAAGUACCAAACGCUUCAGUUUUUUAUUGUCAUCUUUUGGUUAUGUUUCGUUGUGAAUGGUGUAGGAAUAUCAUAAUAUAAGAAAAACUAAUCCAUCAAAAGUUUACAUAUGCCUUGCACUGAGUAUGUUUUGCUUGUUUCACAGAGAGGAUGUUUUUCUGCCUGUUACCGAGCCAGAAUUUGAAGAUUUUUUUAAUCUUUUGAUUUCUGUUUUUCACAGUUUUAUAGUUUAUCAUUCAGCCGAGGCCUAUUGUUCCUAUUUCUUCUGCUUUGACAAAAAACUCCAAUGAGAAUCACAGAAGUCAUUCUCGCUUGUCAUGCACAUUGUCUCUUCUUUUUUCAAAACCCACAUCUGUUCUCACAUGCGAGUGCUUUUUUUCCAAUUUCCUUGUUAAUUAUAAUUAUCAGCCACAUAUCCGAGAGUGUUUGAGACAAAAUGAAAAUUUCCCUUGGAAUCCUCUUAGCUCUGCCACUUACAGAUUAUAUAUGCAGAGGAUUAAUCAAACCCAUUUUAUCCACUGGUUUGAUUUAAAGGCUUUUGUCUACCAACUAUCUGCUGUGUCUCUAACAAAGCAAUGACUGUCUGCGCAGAGCUUUCAAACAAGCCACGUUAAACGGACUCACGUGUCCCUCGUUGUGAGAAUCACACUUUGACUAAAGGGACAUUGCAAUCUCAUUUCACCUGAUCUGUUCAACAGAGAGGUCAGAGGUCACAUCACAUGUACAAAGCAGCAGCUACAUCGUCUGAAAGGAUGCAUACAGAGAUUUGUCAAAAGGCUUGUUACUAGGCAAGAAUAGAGAUGAGACAAAAAUCAGCUGUGCUCUCAUACGACUGCAAGAAGGAGCAUUAUACAGAAAAUUACAGGCUCCUGUUGAAGCAGACUGACUGUAACUUUAUUAAGAUAUCCUAAAACUACACAGACUGCAACACAGAUAUCCAUGACAACUGCAGUUAAUAUCGUUCAUGUUUAACAAAUAUGUUUCAUUAUUUGACCUGCACUCAAUAUACCAGAAUGUAAGACUAGCCUCAUUAAUAACUCCAACCCCAAACACACAAACACUUUCAAAUUAUAAAUUUAUUCAAUUUUUCAGCAACACACUCACACACACUCCUGGAGGACCACGGUGGGAUUUUCCCUGACUGUUGGUAUUUUUAAGACAGUAAUUUUAGGUUUGCUUUAGGCAGAUAUUAUUCUCUUUAACAGGAAAUUUCGGGGCCGCAUGACUUUUUUUUUUCAAUAACUUCUGUAUUGAUAAUUAAGAUCUUAAAAUCUGCAUCACUCUGCCUCAGUUAUUAAACUAACACUUUUUCCUGAACACUCACUGUGUCUCUCCGUAUUUCAUCCUCCUGGUACUGGAGCUGUGAGUGAUGGUGUAGCGGCUCCAAAGACCAACCUUGUCGCUUGAGAGGAAAGUUGAGGGUCCAAUAUUUGUCGGACGCGCUAUCGCUUUCUCCAUAGACAUGCAAGAGGCUUGUGAUGCACCUUAUGGGGUAUUUAAUGAAACAUCUGCUAGUGGUCACACACACAGGACUCCUUUUGAUACACACCAGGAACAAACAAAGGGCAAACCAAAGGCAAUGCUAUGCUACGUAUACUAUGAUGCGAUGUUAAGUGAAGCGAAGCGGUCAACAAAAAUUAUGGCUACCCCGCGGCUCCCCUCUCUCUCCACCUGGCUGCAGGUAAGCCACGUCUUUUCAUAACUACCCAGCAUUCACCCCAUGCCCCACGCGACCCAAGCUCCCGUACGUUACCACAGCAACCACAAACACCACGUGACACAUACUGACUUACUACCUUAUGGCUCCUACAGAUGGUUAGCUUCAGAUAAUGGCUCUUCCUCUGUUGUGAUUACAUAAUAUUUAGAAGACUAAACCACACAUAUAAGACAACCAUUUUUUUAAUAUGUCAAGGGACAUCUGAUGUUUUGUCAAUAUCAUCCUGAAAAAAACAUUUUUUAAAUUCUUGUUUGUUAGUUUUUUCCAUUUUUGAUCUUUAACCUUCGUCUUACGCUGCCAUGCUGGUGUUAAGUAUCCAGGGAUCACAUUAAGGCUAAGCAAUUACUUCCAGGAACCAGUACAUCAUACUUGAAAGACUAGCCAUCAUGAUAGGUUUCAGAGAUCAUUUUGCUUGGAGUACACCACAGCAGCUGAUAAGGGUAAAUGGCCUGUUACACAAGCAACUUCAGUGAGGCCUUGAGCCCAUUCUUGACAAACAGCUCAGUUCAAACCACUCCAGAUGCAUCCCUGGGAAUGUGCCACAUUUCUAUGUCAUAUUUACAACAUGUUGAACUCAAGCACAAUUCACAUGCUCAUGGACUUCUAAAUCGGGUCAAACUCUCACUGCUUCAAGUGUUGUCAUCAUGCUUGAGGUAGCUUAAACAACCUUGCUGCUUUAUUAUUUGAGAAUCUGAAGACUGUGCUACACCUCCUCUUCAUAGUAACAUAUACAGUAACUCUGUAUACUUGUAUUGAUCCUUGUAAUAAGUGCGGGUGAAAUUUACUUAGAAAAUUAGCUGAAUAGAGGCAACUCGAGAAAGCUUUGGCCCGCUCUUUCACAGUCUCCAAAAGUCUCUCCUUCCACAGCCAGUCUCGUCUCUAUUCUCUCUCCUUUCUACCUUUGAACUUCUCUUUCAUUUUUUCUCUUCUUUCAUCGUCUCUUUUUUUUUUUUUUUUUUUUUGAAGAUAUUGGAGGAAUGCCAAAGUCUUCAGACAGAGAAGUCAGAUAUGAGCAGCGCCGCAUUCCAGCUUGCUCUACUGUGUCGGGUGGACAGGUUGGAAAGGCCAGUGGAGGCACGUGACUCUUCUGGUGACAGAUGGGAACAGGGCCUGGAGGAAUCCACCUCUGUCCCCAUUACCCCCAACCCUAAACUCACCCCACCUGACUGGGAGAUUUCAGAUUCUCAUGCUUUCACUUUCUUGUGCUGUUUUAUGUCUUAGCUCCUGGUCAAAGUCAAGUUUAGGCAUGUAAAAGCAUAGCCAGAGCUGAUAUUUUAAAUCUUUUGGGUUCUUUUUAAACAGGGAUGAUAAAAAAUCAGGAAAAUGAUUCAGCAGAAAGGUGUGAGAUGGUUGUGUAUAAUGUGGAUAUCAUUCUCACAAUAAAAUCAAUUCUCUUCUUUUA